AGUGGAAGUCCAGAUGGUGCGUCAUGCGAAAGCUGUCUCCGGUUGCAGGUAAAUAAUAAAAUACGUCUACACUAACAUUUCAGUAUUUUUAAUAUUAAAUUAAUAAUAUCCCGUCGAAUCCGCGGUCUUGUACAUACAAUAUUAUAAACGCUCCUCCGCCAGUUUCGAAAACGUUUUCGAAUGAAUUACUUUUAUAUUAUUGCUGAUCUGGAGCACGAAGAAUUUUUCUCAGAUUCUGCAGUUUACCUUCUUAUUAUUAUUUUACUUCCGGCGUCAUUUAAUAGACCACCUACUAUAAGAGUUUCCGCCAAGCCGCGAUAAUCCCCGUCAACAUUGCUCGAUAACGAACUCUCCGCAAUCCCCAUUCUUGUGUACUCCCAUUCUAUCAAAUUCUUCUUCCAAAACAUCCGACCCAUAUUUUCGUACACGUCGACUCCGAGGUUUCUGGCUCGUCGAUUUCUUAAAUUCAGAAAUGCCGUCCCGUCAAUCGUCCUAGUCUUUGUCCUCGUACGAUACUCCCACGGUCUACUCGUGUUAUCACUUAAAUCGGCCCACGCAUUGCAGCCCUCCGUAUUGUAUUUUAAAACUUAUCUAGUCUUCGUUUAUCGCGUUUAAAUUUUACCUACUGGUUAGUCUAUGUACGUUAUGUAAUUGUAAUAUGUAAUUAUGUCUUAUUAUAUAUUUUUAAACUGUUGUACAUAAAUCGGUAAUCAAAUACUUUUCCUCGAUCUGUGAAAGACUGAGGCUUUUCGCUGCAAGUCCGACGGACCACCUCGCUUGUCUCAUCCAUUUACAUAAAGCCGAUCUCUUCAUAUUGACAUAAUAGGUACCACGAUUAAGCAAUUACGCCUUACGUGUCUCAUCAUAUUUCUUCGGCAAACACCUUCCUGGCUUCCCACAGGGUCUUCUUCGUCCUAUACGAUCCGUACGCCCGUCCGAAUCGUUAAAAAAUUAUUAUUAUAUUAUUAUUUAACGACGGGCGCACGCUUUCAGCAGGCAUCCGUUUUACCCCCUUUUGGGGCACAAAAAGCGCCCGCCCAAUUGUCUGUCACUCACAGCAUUAUUGUCGUCGUCUCUUAACUUCCGUUAAAACAUACCGCGUAUACCACGAUAUUAUCACACCCGCGACGAUUGUUUUCACGUCCGACCGUAAUAUGGGACCCCCGACAGCAGGUCAACGAGACGUCUACCCCGGGGCAUAGAACAAUACACUCGUAUAUGCGUAACAGUUUUCAAUGUAUUUACGUGCACGCGCCCGCGUAGUUGAAAACGUGAAGCGUAUUGGAUACGUGUUGGAUAAUAUACAACAUCUGGUGCACUUCAAAUAUUCAAACAUUCACUGUAAUUUGCAUAAAACAAAAUAAUAAUAAUAAUAAUAAUAAUAUAGGUAAGUAUAUUGAAAAAUAUGUACGGAGUCUACUGCACUGCACCAUAUCAUAUCCUAACAGUAUAUACCGCGCUGUCGGUAAAUUUGUUGAUUUAAAAAAAAAAAAAAAAACAAUUAAUUAAUUAAUUAAAAAAACCUACACCGGUCGCACUAUACCGAACGAACGAAAAUAACCAGCAAAUUUUUUAUACGUUGCGGCCAUCGCUUUUGCAGUGUUAUGAGAAAAAUAUUAUGUAUCGUUAAAAAAAAUGACAAUUUUUACUAGAGUCAUACAAGAUAUACACGGAUUUAUGAUUUGUAAAUAUUGUAAUUACCUGUAUUACGGAGAUCGGAUACCGAUAUUUUCUAUUGUUGUCAAACUAACUGAGCCCACUGAGACCGAUUUUCUGCGAUCUAUGCUCUGUGAAGCGAUACAGAACACAGAUUCGAAUUCAACGUAAAGUGUACACCGCGAGAUCGGCCACAAUAGUUUUUUGAAUUUUGGUCAGUAAUAAUAUACUUAAAUGUAUGGGGGGGAGGGACCGAAAUUAAAUCAUUUAAUAAGUGUUUUUUAGACGUCGCGAACGUCGUUCAAUAUGGAUAUUAUUCCGCUUGAUAUUUUUUUCGGGAUAGGUACCGCGGUAAAACAACAAUAACAUUUUAAACGCCGUUGAUAAAGUACAUAGAUAAAACUUUAACGGCUAACGAAGGCCGUAACUCGUAUCAACGCGCGCGCACACGUGCGCGCGUUCGAGUGUGUUCUGAUGAUUUAUUUACUGCGGUUCGCGAGAAUAAUUUAAUACAACGUGAACGAUUUUAAUGGAUUUUUCAAGAGCUGUGUAAUAUAUAUAUAUAUAUACUGGAAUUACGAUGUAAACUUCACUAUAAUUAUGAGGAAAAACAAAAAAAAAUGAUAACGGCCCUCAAAAAAUACAUACAAUUUGGUCAGGUUUCGAGAUAUAUCACGUCGUAUGUUUGAUGAACGUUUUGAGUGUUUAUUUACCUAUAAUAUUAUUAAUUAACGGGUUAUUUUUUCGCUUUUUCUAUAUGCACCGUCGCGAACUAAAACAAUAUUACAUACUUACUUUGUAGUCGGACGCGCACUCAGCAUUUUCGUUUGGGGGAGCGCUCUUCUACCUAUAUAACUUCUUCGUCUUCGUUCGCUCUACAGCGGCGUUAAGUACCUCCGCGGUCGUAACAAAACACCGUCCAUAAUAAUUCUCUGUAAACCGAGGAUAUUCUUUCCGAUUCGUAAUACCAAUAGUCGAUCCGUGUCUUAUUUUAUUUUAUUCCUUUCGUCGUAUAACACCGGUCUCUUGAUUUCUUCUCCGCGGUUGGAUUCCACUCGACCGGUAGCUUUAUUCAUUCUGCACUCUCUUUCUCCAUAAUCACACUAUACGACCUCUCAUCUGUAACAUACAUCGCAUAUAAUUAUAAUAAUCAAACUGGAGAUAAUUUUAAAAAACCGUCGUAAAUUAUCAAUACAUAAACUAACAAUAUUAUUAUUAUUAUUAUUGAUUUUUUGAUAGAAGACUUUCAGUCCCUCGUUUUUUUCAAGUAAGCGUCACCAAAACGGAAUUCCCCAGAGCGUAUAUUUUACGUUAAAAAAAAAAAAGUAUUAGGUAUAUUUAAUGAUUUGCCAUGUGCUUAAAAUAAUAUUUUACAACUAGGUCUCAUAAUUUAUCUUCCAUCUAUUUACACGAGUAUGUAUAUUAAUAAAAAAAAGUGCAAUACACACACAGAACCGGAUGAACGGGUCCGUGUGUAUAAGUACCUCGAAGCAGGAUUUCUGAAAGUCAACCACUUCAUGCAGGGUUAUUGGUAUUUUCGGUAUACGAAAAUUGUAUUUCCUUUUCUUUUUUCUUUUUUUUUUGUCAGAGACACCGAUGAAAAAAUAUUUUUAUUAGUCGAUUUGGUUAUUAUGACGGGCAAAAGAAACGAUCUUUUUUUAAAACAUAAAUUAUCGUACGACGACAGCUUACGGGACGGAGGUAGAAACGGGGUAACAAAGGGACACACGUUUUUAUUUGUUUAUUUCGUUCAAUACCGUGUACGGACAAAGCCCUUACGGAAAGAAUCUAGCUCAUAAUGGACAUGUAAAAAUGGUCAUUUAGCAAAAUUGCCGGCGAAAAAUAUAACCGUUUACCUAACGAAAUGGCCAGAGGAAAAUUUUCGCCGUGUCCAUAUUUCCCUCUAUUGAAGGAUAUUGUAUAGCUAUUAACUAUCUGAAAUCGCGUUUAUAAUAUUAUUUUCUACGCGGUUUUUUUAUUUUCUGAAUAUUAACUUUUUCGACCAUUAUCACUUUGAACAUAAUUAUUAUAAAGGCAAUAACGGUAAUGAAAUACGGCCGUAGAAAAGAUUUUUUUUUACCAACCGAUCGUUUUUUUCGCCCGUGGGCCAUUUUUGUUUUUGCAAUUAUCACCGUACCGCGCGGGACAGUAGGUAGGUACUUCACGAAACAACGAAAUUGUUUAAUCUAUUAUUUACAGCAUUAUAUUGGUGUAUAACGUAUGGUAUCUUUCAAAUGGAUUCUUUUCAAUUUUACACUCGGGAACAUUGUUCGGUCGCUAAGUAGCCCUCGUUGAUGUAAAAUAUUAUAAACUCGCGCGGCGUACGUUACCCGCCGGCAACUGUGGCCUCGGUUGACAUCCGGGACUUUGGUCCGUGACGCCGCAGAGGGAAGUGAAGUCGUCUAAACACAAUUUCUCGAUUUGUAAUAUUCCUCGGGGGGACGGGGGGGACGAGAGCGAUAUUUUUAUGCAAUUGUAUAGAUUCUUGCGUACAUAAAUCCUUAUGCGCGUUUGUUUCCUUUCUAAUCGCGCACCCGACUGCAGCACGUCGGGGCUGUAAAUCGAAUUUGUUUAAACCGUGUGCGACGCCGAUGCAAACUACCCGAAUUUCCGUUCGAUAAUACACCACUUUUUUUUUUCAUAUAAUAUGAUGUAUACGUAAAUACGAUAUGUAUGAGCACGAGACAAACAACAUUUUAAUACUUUUUUUUUUUUUUAUUUUUUAUUUUUUUAAUAAAUUUUUUAUCGCGUCAAUAACCACACGCGUUAUACAAGGAUUGCGAUUGUAGCAGUAGUAAUCUACUGCUACUAUUAUUAUUAUUAUUAUCGCCAUAUCGUAAUAAAAUAAUUGUUAUCGUGACCUUGCAACUUAAUAUUAAUAACGGGUUUUUCUCCAUCAAUCGACGAUUGGCUCCGGCCAUAAUAGUAGGUUUUACUUUUUGUAUUCAUAUACAUUAUACCGCGGUAUACUCUCGCCGUCCACUGCCAUAAUAACAUUAGAGACGCGCACGAAUUCUGUCCGCCAGAAAACGUAAUAAUUUGUCCACAAUAAAAACGUAUCCCGAUAAGAUUCGAUAUUAUAAUGAAAAAUGUAUUAGCGACUUAUAUCGCGAUGUCACGAGGUCGUUUUUAUUUUAUUAUUUUUUUUUUUCUUUGACAUCACGUAAUAAUAAUACUCUUUUUCUGUAUUAUAAUACGACGCUAUUGAUAUAUGAUUCGGUGUCCGGCAUAUUAUUAUAAUUUAUAAUUGUAUUAUCCGCCAGAGUAUAUUGAACUCGUUUUAGAUUCUGAAUGGAGUAAAGAAGCUUAUAGUUUUACAAAGAUGUUUAUUUGUAUUAUUAUUAUUAUGAUUGUUAUUUUUUUUUUUACGUCAUCAACGAGUAAAAAAACUGAAAAGUAAAAUUAAUAAUUCCAAGUUUUGAUUUGACUUUUGACUUUUUAUUUAUGAAACUUUUAUCUCAAAUCGUUUUGUUUUGCUUUUGUUUAUGUUAAUUUAAUAUUGUGCCGAUUUGGUUUUAAAUUUUACCGCAGUGUAAGUUAAUUUCUACAAUUACUCGUGUUUAAUAUUAUAAUAAUACCAUCAAUCGCCGUUCAUUUCAAAUAAUCACAGAUCCUAGGUUUGUAAAUUUCGUCGUAUCAUCGGUUACCUAGAAAAACUCGGACAGAAGAAGCGAAAAACUACCAUAGACUUAAAAAUUCACUUACAUUUUCAAAAACAAAUGAAAACCAAAAUUUCGACUCACGAGGUUUUGAUGGGUGACCGUCGAUAUAAUAUAAAAAUGUAACCAAAAAUAAAAUUAACUGUAUUUCAGGAUAAAUAUUAUUGUUUUUGAAUUGUCAAAAUUAACUUUCAACUUAACAAUAUACAGCUAUAUAUUAAUGAUUGAUUUUUUACGCGUUAACUCGUUAAAUUUUUUGAUUGUGAGUGAAACGAGGUAGUCGAUUUUUCCUGUAGUUUAUAAACAAUAAACCCUGACGAUUUAUCGGAUAAUUUUUAUUGACUUUUGGGUUACAUAAGGAAUAACUGAAAAAAUAAUUACUUAUAACACUUUGUUCAGAUUCGUUUUUCAGUAAUGGUUGUUCUAAUCGUUGCGUACAGAUAUAAGUUAAAUUAUUUCAUACGCAUUAUAAUCCCAUCCAAUUUUUUGGUAAAACACCCAUGAGCUGUAUUAGAAUUUUUUUUUUUUUUUAUAGCUUUUAUUUCUUAACUUUACCACGCGAGUCAAGUAUUAUUCGUUAUUAUAACUCGUUUAAUCUUGUUUUUUACCACUUAAAAAAAAAAAAUCGUUAUUUUAUCGCAUUUUACAUGUUAUUUAUACCUACUUAUCGCGAGGGUAUACUAUAAUAAUAUAAUACCGUACUUUCUCACGAUAAUAUUAUUAUAUUACCUAUCUAUCUUUAAUAAUCGUGUGAAAACGAAAUCGUAACACAUUCGGACGGCGAUACGAUGGCGGCGGUGACUGCGGUGAGCGAAAAACUCUUACACUUAUAAUAAUGGAAAACCGGUGUCACGUUCUUCUGGCGGACUGCACGAAAUACGCGUUCGGUUCGAAUAAUCCGCGGUGAUCUCGCCCACCGACUUUUCGACAAAAACAAAAAAUAAAAAAAACAUUCUUAUAAAUUGAUUCGAUAUUACAUUAUUUCAUAUUCGUUUAAGGCGAGAAAAAAUUACGCAGCAUCCGCGCCGUAAUAAUAUCUUAUGUAACGCAAAGCCAUUCGAUAUCGUUUCGCAACAAUAAAUAUAAUUUUAUUUGAAAAAAAAAAAUCCGGUACGUACUUCGAACAUCACGGGAAUAUACGUACAUUUAAUACGGGGUAAUUUAAAAAUGUAUACACCGUGAGCAACGAUAAAUCGUCACGAUCAAAUUUGUGUUUCUCUUAUAGCCUGAUGCUGCAAGGUCGGUAACACAGAAAUCGACCAAAAGUAAAACUGGCGUUCGAGACAUUUGUUGUCGGUUGUUUUUUUUCUUUUUUCUUUUAUAGUAGACGGUUGGAAUUCCAGUUUAUUUCCAAAUAAUGUACUGUCCGGUAAAAAAUUUUAAGAUACAGAUACGGAAAAAUCGGAAUACGUUGACUAACCCGAAAGUAUUUUCUGAGAAAAAAAAACACCUGUGUAAAACUUUAUGACAGUUUCUUUCGCUCUAUUCAGAAUCUAAAAUACCUAUUAUUGAAUAUUUUGUACCGGGUAUAGCUGCUUUUUUUUCAUAUAUACAGUCGAGACGAGACAGGUGCGAUUUUAAAUAUAAUAUUAUGUUUUUCGUUUAUUCCGUACGGAGAAUAAUAUCGGGUUAAUUUUCUACUCGUGGGGUACUACAACAAGCGGAUCACGUGUAUAAAUAUAUUAUAAUAAUAAUAAUAUGAGAUACGGAAUCUAUUAAACUCUAUAACUAUAGCACUCGUUAUUUUCGCAAACGCAUCAUUAUACGUUAAAAUUCAUGAAUAUUAAUAAAUGUUUGUACGAAAAUUUUAACGGUUUACACGUAUAGCCAUCGCUGUACGUGUCUAUAUAUAUAUAUAUAUAUAUAUAUAUAUUAUGUGUGUGUGUGUGUGUGUGUGUGUGUAUACCUAAUAUUAUAUAGAAUAAUAUACGAGUACAAUAAUGAGUGUGCCUAAGUAAUUAUUCAAAAUAUUUGAAUUUGCCCGUCGUAAUAGGUACAUUGUUGUAGGUAUUGUAGGUAUACUCGAGUGAAUAUUUAUAUUAUUGCGAUUGUUAUCAAUACAACAUUGUAUAUCAGUGGCGUACCUAUAGACAGAAAUUUCCCGAUGAGACGGAGAAGGCGCACUAUAGAUAACUGGGCCGUUGAAAAAGGUACAAUUGUAUCUUUUUUAGUUUAUGCAACGUGUUUAUUGUACCUUGUAUCGAGAUACUCUUUAUAUUUCAGUAUCAACUGGCAAGUACCUUUUUGUACCGAAAGAUAAAAGAUAAUAGAACAUGCUUUAAUAUAUAAUUGAAACAAAAUAAACGAAAUAGCGAAAAACCAAAAGAGGUAAACAUGUGUUGCAAAUUUCAUGCUUUUAAUCUUAAAAAUUUAAAUAAUUAUUUACUCGUAUUAUAAAAUACUAAAUAGUUAUAAAGUUCCGUGCUACUCUAGGACCCUAUGUACGAUAAACAAAGAUUAAAAAGGUAGUACGGGCUCCUCAGAUCCUUCCAUAAAUACGCCACUAUAAUAGUAUGCCAAUAAUUGUGUACAUUAUAACGUACAGUCAGUUUAGAAAUCAAACUAAAUGUCUAACGUCGUUCCAUUUUUCUAUUACUUACCUAACUCUCGUAAUAUAAAAAAGCAUAUAAAUAAAUAUAAAAAAUAAAAAUAAGGCACUUAGUAAAACGUCUAGGCGUUUAGUGAAAUGGUCGUUUCGACUGAAUGACUGACAUAGAAAUGCGGCCUCUGUGAAUUUACCCGGUAAAAUUUAGGUGCAUUUUACCGAUUGAAAAUCGAGUGACCCCUCAUUUCAAUUGUUUUUUGUUUUACGUAUUCUAACGUUUGAUUAAUUGUAUAUUUCCACAUUUAACCCGGUAACACUGGCAACGCACGCGACAAUAACAAAUUAAAUAACAUCAUAUACAUCUAAAAUCUAACCAUAUAGGCGAGCGCACGCGGAGAAGAUGGGGGGGGGGCGUUCGUUCAUUCAAUGUCAGACCCCCGAAAUGUGUUUCCAGUCACGGUCAUGCGACUCGACAUUUAAGUGCGGAAAUAAAAAUUUCAAAACAUUUUAUCGUGCUUUUAUUACAUAUUUUUGUACAUAUUAUAUAGGUUGUAGGUUUUCAUAAAAAAAAUAUUUAAAAAAAAUCUUGGGGCAGGUACCCUGGUAAAUUUACAGAAAAAAAUUAACCUGUAAAAUCGAUAUCUCUGCCAGGACAAUAAAUGUAAAUAAUAAAUUUUAUUAUUAUCAUGUCGACAUGGUAAUAACAUGUUCUAAAUCAUAUUUCCUCACGUUAGUAACCAGUAUGGUUCGCAGUGUUUGACCGCAACAUAAUAUUAUAUAAUACAAAUCGACGAACAAAGAUAAAAAAAAAAAAACAUAAAAAGAAAUAAAGUUCAAAGACAUACGCGUUCUCUGAAACAUUUAUAGUUAUGCGUUGUUACCUCUCUGUAAGUCGUUCGCUAUUUUUUUUAUUUUUUUACUAUUAUUAUCGUUAACACAUUUGUUUUCGUAGAACGGAAUAUUUUUAUUUUGGGAAAGCGACGUAGAAUUCUUGAAAAAAAAAAGCCGCUCAUGUGUUGUAAUAAUAAUAAUAAUAAUUUUAAUUGUAAUAGUAUGUUUUUUUUUUUUUCUAACCAACACGAUAACAUUUAAACCGUUUAUAAUACAGAAUAUAUAGUGUAAAUGCGGGUCAGAGAUCGCACGUGCUAUUAACGAUUAAAAAAUUAUAUUUUAGCAACGAGAAAAUAUCUAAAAUCUAUGGUUUUUUUUUUUCAAAUUUUCAGUCGCGUACACGCGUAAUAAAUUCCGCGUGGCUUCGAAAACCGAGCCGCCAUCACGAUCACCCCCUUUAUAUUUGAACUUAUAAUAAUAAUAUUAUACGAGUGCAGUGUCAGUGUCAGUGUGUGUGUAUGUGUGUGUGUGUAUUGUUUUAUUACUCGGGCCCGGUUGAAAAUUUGCAUAGAACAAAACCGCCAAACGGUCAUUGGAAACAGUUCUCGUUGUGUAUAUCAUUUUUUGUUAUAGUAUUAUUAUAGCGUGUGUUGCAGACGUUAUCCUUAAAUUAUUGCGCGAACACAACGCCCUCGUGAAUAAUAUUCCGGUGUGACUAUACGCGGUAAAAUAAUAUAUUAUAGUAUAUAUGCUGGUGUAGGUCGGCUCGGACGGAUUUCCGUAUAUCGACUCGUCGCAUCGUCUUUCUAAAAAAUGUCGAAUUUUUUUUUUAUAAUUUUCACCGAAUCAAUCGCUUAAAUUCGUCAAUAACAUUAUAUAAUAUACCAGCUCGCUUUUCUUAACAAACGCCAGAGACCCAAAUAUAAUACAAAGGGAGGUGCCUAGAACGCAAGGCCGUAUAAGUGACGUUUUAUUGAUUUCGAAAAAAUCAAGUUUAAAAUCAUUUGUAUUUAAGAGGACGUUUCACAUGCAUUUGUUGUUUCCGUCUUACAAACACAAGGUACAGUAAAAACAUGCUUACGCAGACUAUACAAAACUCGCUUGGUUUUGGUUUUCGAGUAAAACCACUUAUUAUAAAAUUAACAAAGAAUUAUAUUACGGAAGACAAGACGUUGCGUUUUUUUUGAAAAAAUUAUUAUUAUUUUUAAAGUUUUAGCUAAUUAAAAACUCGCUUAAAAAGUCAUUAUUUAUAAACGGUAAAUUGACUGUUAUAUUCGGAGAAAAUAACAAAAACGCAACGUGUUCACCUCCGGAAUAUUGUUCUCUUUUGAUUUUGUCUUAGGUGAUUUUACUCUAAAACCAAAAUUAACCGAGUUCUGUGUAGUCUGCGUAAGCAUGUUUUUACUAUAUCGAGCGUUUGUAAAACGGAAACAACAAAUGCAUGUGUACUCCCGUACAUUUAAUUACAGUAUAUUAUCAUAUCAUCACUGUACCUUGGCACGAAUGAUGAAAAAAAAAAAAAGUUUUAGACACUUGGCGGUAAAGACACAUACAUGUGUUAACAGACGUUGUGCACACGCUUGUAUUUAUUUACUUCUAAACUAUUAUGGCGUUAUUGUUUGGAAAAUAUUUUAGUGUGAUCUAGUGUUUGAUAUUAGAUUGAAGAUCAUUACCGGAUUAUCCACUUAUAUUUAUUCACUACAAAAUAAAAUAGACAAUUUGUUGUUCAGUCGUGCACAUAAUUCAAAUUUUUUUAAAAAUUUCACUUAUACCUUUUGUGUUUUCUAGGCGCCUCGUAUAUAUAUAGGUUCUUACUCUCUACGCGUGUCCUAAACAAAUAUAGUGCACGAAGUACGCUUCAAUAUUAUUAGGCGUCCGUAAUCCGUAGUUCGGGCAUUGUUCGCAUUAUACGCGUACGCUAAAUACCAGCUACCUAUCGGUAUAGGUAAACCUUUUACGUUACCCGGGAACAUUCUUUCGACGUCUGAUACCGAACAAUAAUAAAUGCAAAACGUGCGCAACGCCUAAUAAUAUUAUUGUUAUUGUUUCUGCAAUGUUUUUCGUGUAUGAAACUUGUACGCAGCGUAUAGUUGUAUACAAUGUCUACCCGCAGGCCCGCGAGUCUAUACCUGCGUAAUCGAGUUUAAAAACUAAACAAAUUUAAUUCCGUCUGAUAAUUGAAAAUGAUAAAUUUGUUUUAUAAUAAUAAUUUUAGUACCCGCCCGGUUUCCGAGCGGAGUAAUAUUUCGAAAAUCAGACGCGCGGGGAAAAAAGGUCGACGGCUCGUUUUUAGCGAAAUAUUUCAUUUUAUAACAAGAUAGGUGCCUAAAUUUUUAUUAUUCGAAUGAACGUCGUAUUUUCGUUAAAUAUUCAGUAUAGGCGUUUGUGCGCUUUUCGUGUAUCGCGAAUAAUACGCGUAUACGAGUUAUUCGCUACAUAACCGCGAAUGCGUUAAGAAAAUAUGAUCAUAAUGUUAGCUGGGGAAAUGUCGUCAUGUAAUACAGUCGUGUUAAAACCACGACGAAAGACCUUGAAACUUACUGAUUACAAUAAUGUGUUACCGCGGUCGUGAUGUAUGCGGAACUGUUUAACCGAGAUAAGUACCUGUACGUAAUCACAUUUAAAUGCGUUACUUUCUACACGGGAGAUUUACAUGCAAAAAUUCGAAAAUGAAGACGACAAAAAAAAAAUAAAACAAAUUUUUUACCGUAUUAUUUAUACGUGAAAUCCUACAUAAAGAUAUUCGCGAAAGAGUACAAAAUUAAAAUAUUAUUAUUUGCCGUUUCGAGUGUAAAUACUCGUACAUUGAUCAAACGAGUGGGUAUACCCAUAUUGUUAUACUACCGAUUCGACGACAGUAUUGUCGUGUUUAUGUAAAUAUAUUAUAUUUUGUUUGGAAUCGAUGAAAAUAUUAUUCAUUCUUUGAUUUGACCGAUUUUUAAAUAUUCACAAUUCUGUGUAAAAAAAAAUAAAAAACGCUUUUUCUUAUAUUAUCUUUUAUUGUCGUGUAGAUCUAUAGUUAAAUGGGCAGCUAAGAUGAAUCCAGAAACCGAAAUCGAUAGUAAAUAAAUACUCACGACUUACUAUUACGACCGUCCGUACCAACCCAUAAAUAAUAUAGCGGUCAAGAGACGGAGACGAUUUCCGAACACCGGUGUAGGAUAAGGACUCGGUACUUUUACUUUUCAACCUUCAACAGUAUCACUUACAGUAUCACCUAGUGAUAAUCGCUCAUCAAUUUCGAGACGAACACAGUUAUUCGGUAUUAAUAAGGAUACGAUAAUGGAUAUAACUGUAACACUAUAAUAAUAUUGAAGACCCUUUGGAGUGGGGGUGCGGUUAGAUAAGGUUUUUCGACGUGACCGCUGUAAGGAUAUAAUAUUCCCUUAUCGUUAUUUUAUGACAACCGGACACCAUAAUACAAAAUAAAAUCUACUUAAUAUAUAAAACGUAUUGUUUUUUCAUUGGAAUUCGUGAUAUUACUUUGGAAUAAUAAUUUAACGUAUUCGUGAUACUGCUACGGUUAAACCAAUUAAUAUAAUAAUGUGUACGUUAAUUUCUUUGGAUUUUGUUCUAUACACGUGUAGUUACGCAAAUUUAUCGCAUUUGUUACCAUCGGCGUCAUUGCGCGUAUACACUUUCACACGAACGUGCGACUGAAUUUUUCCGACUGCGACCAAUCGUAUUAUUAUAUUGUUAUAGGAACGCCAGCUGAUUCAACUGAACCUGACGCAAGCGAUAUUUUUCCCGUUGUUUGUUUUAGAGAAUUUGACGGCCGUCGAGUUGUUUUUUUUUUUUCUGAAGUACCCGUGUGUGGUCGAAUAUUAUUCGAAAUAAUAAAAUCAAUUUACCGUUAAGAGGUACCUUAAGAGGUAUCUAUGACAUGAUAUGUUUAACGCUUCCCAAUUUGGAAAGUCAAUCCUUAUAUUUAAAUAUAUACAAGUAUUAUAUACAGUUUUAUAUACAAUGGUUACCUUUUAGAGCAGCGGUUUUCGACCUUUUUUAUUCCAAUUUUUAAAUUUUCAAAAAUCUCACACACCCCUUCCUUUUAAAUUAGGUACAUUAAACUAUUAGAGUUUAGACGACUUUUUUUUUUAGUGAGCUAUAUAAAUAAAUUUUAAAAAAUAAUUUUAUACAUAUUAAAAAUUGUAGGUACAACUAAAAUUAAUUUAUUGUUUUCAAUUUUACUGAUUGGAAAAUGGCAUAAAUAUUUUAACAAAAAAUAUUCUUGUUUUUUCAUCAUCACUAUAUUUUCCUCGUGCAGUAUUUAAAUUUCUCCCCACCCCCCGGUCGAGAAUCACUGUUUUAGAGUAUACCUAAAAUUUCAAAACUACAUUUUGAAACCUAUAUAUAAUAUUAUUAAUAUAUGGUUUGCUACUCUAAUUAUAUAUUUUAUUCGUUUCCAGUGUAAUUUUCGUUCGAAUAAACACGCGUCGAGUUUUUACAACAAACGUUUGUAUUGUUUCUUUUUUGUCGAGAAACGCUUUUUUUGCAGAAUUAAAAAUGAUCCGAAAGUUUCGCAAAUAUACACUGUAGUUCGUAUCUACGGAUUACAAAUUAAACGCAGAUGGUACUAGGCGUAUUAAUAUAUACUUUAGAAAGGUAUUAUUAUUCUUUUGCAGCGUCGUCGUUGUUGUUUUAAAAACGUUGUAUAGUCGAAUAAAAGAACUAUUAAAAAACUGUUGUAGCCUAUGGAAAGUUAGUGUAUAUAAGAGUCGGUGAGUAGGUAUGUAUAAUAUAUAUAUAUAUAUACUGUUCUCGGUUCAAAGUUUCUUUCCAACUUUUUAAUUAUCCUAGAGGUUUCGAAUUUUCACCCGGUUUAUAUGUGUUGUUUUGUGUGUAUAUAUGUAGCGCCGUAAUGCGAUUUUGCCGGCGUUAAAGAGAUUUUAACCGCGAAUGUUUUCAACUGUAUCUAUAAUCUACGAGGUUUUAUAAUAAUUUCUGAGGGCGAUUUUAAAUGAUUAAACCCCGAAUAAUAGGCUGCAAUAAUCGUUAUUAUUCCAAACUAUUCCGGGUCAAAACCGAAAUUCGGCUACAUCCUCCCUCUCCUCGGCGUCCCCGUAAGGAAUAUAUGAGUUUAAAUGCCUUCUCUAAACAUUUUCAAGUUCUGAGUAUAGCGAAGCAGCUAUUAUAAAGUUCUACUAUGAUGCUUAUUUUUCCUCCAAUUUUUCGGUUCCGCAUAGCUUACCUUAAAAAUGCGGAUUUUUGUCACCUGUUACCGGUCCUUUAUUUAAAUAAUUUUUCAAAAUGCCUACAAUUUCUAACAAAAAAUUUAAAUUAAAAACAUUUAUGGACAUUUUCAGCACUAGCUCCAUUUUUAAUUUCUGGAUUCUCUUGGCAACGAGGAAUCAAACACAACUAAUACAUUUCAAAAUCCUUUUUCGAUAGCAAUAAUUAAUUAUUGCAUACACUGUAUGAAUUAUAUAAACUAAAUUACUCUGUAGGCAUCUUUUCUUUCCAGCUACUUACCAACAAAAUUUACCAGUAAUUCCGUGAACUGUAUCAACUUGUUUUUCUUUCAAAUACACAAUACAGAAAUGCAAUGUCCUACUUACUCGUAUAUUGUCGACCUGUACAUCCUUAUUAUAUUAUACGAAGCAGGUAUAAUAGAAAAAGAAAAAGUCUGAAAAUUUAAAUUUCUUUAAAUCAGCCAAUUCGUAUUCAUUUUUUAAUAUUAGGUAGGUACCCGCAACGACGGUUUCGACAAAUAUUACAAUUAACAAUAAUAUAAGUGCUCGUUUCGAAUGUUUUGAAAUUCAAAUGAACGGCAGCGGAGGCGGCGACGACGGUAUGGUUAUACAUUCUGUAUAAUAUAUACAGUAAAAAAAAAAUAAAAAAAAAAUUUCCUCGUGUUUAUAAAAUAUUUUCAUUCGUGAGGUAGAUACGUACCGACCGUCACGUUCGAUGUAUUAUAUUAUUGUAACAUUGCCCCUGUAACCCGUCAGUUUUUAAAAACUCCGACGAAAGCCCGAAAUACGUUUUCUUUAUAAUAUUUUCUAAUUUUAUUAAAUAAUAAUAACAGUGUUUCCAUACAUUACAUUGCGGUUAACGUUUGUUUUUCUUGUUUUUUUUUCUUUUCUUUUCUUUUUUUUUUUAAUUUACAAAGAGGUUUUCGUUAGUUGGCCCGCAGCGGAUAAAAACAAAAACGCGUUAGUCGGGUUUUUGGCAUUUUCUCCUGAAAAUGGAUACUUAUAGAGCGCUGUAUUGUGUUUGUUAAGGAUUCGCAAAAAGCGAACUAGGGUAAACUUAUAAAAAAAUAUAUUUAAAUGUCUUGUUUCAUCCCUGUACAGAAAACGUGGCCAAGUGAUUUACAUUAUACACAUUUUAGAAACCGUGCGCACAUGGUUUUCGAUAAAAAUUAAAAUAGAAUAAAAUAACAGUUAAAAUUGUUUAAUCACUUUGUGAUCGAUUGCAAUACACAAUCUGUUAGGUUAGAUGUCUUUUUUUCCCGCUAGUUAUAUGGACACUUUUAAGCGGCUCUCUCUGGAAUAAACGAGUUUUAAGAAUCAGACAUUAGAGUUAAUUUCAAUAUAAGGAUUUUUUUUUUUUUUUUGGCAGGUCAGGAGAGUUUAACCUAAAACAUAGAGGUAAAGUAAUUAAGCUUUAUAGACGUAAUGAGAUUUUUAAAAUAUUUUAACGUAUUUACGUGUUAUUUAUUGAUAUCUGAAAUUUUCUACCUUGUUUAGUUUUAGAUUUUGAAUGGAACGAGGAAUAUAUUGGUUAUACAGUGAUGUUUUUUUUUGUUGAACACUUUUUCUACCAGAAAUCUUACUCUGAUUAUCAAGUAUAGCAUUUUUUAUGAAGGGAAAUAUUUUCUGGGUAGUACUUUAAAGAGGUAAUUUUUUGAAAUUAAUUAAAUUAUAUUUAGAUUAAUUUUUUAAAUUUAUCUCAUCAAUAUUCGAGAUAAUAAGGAAAACCUGGUUCUUUAAGUUAAAAAAAUAUUAAACGAUUAAAAAUAAGGUUGUCAUUGGCAACCGUUUUUAUUUAUUUUUUUGUUAUAAUUAAGUUUUUAUUAUUUUAAUUUAAUAUUUUUUAAACAAUCAUUGUUGUAAACAUUCUAUCAUAAUGUGAUAUACAUUACAAUACAUACAUACAAUACAUAUUGUUGACAAAGCAACACUAUCUACUGAACUCCGCUCAGAAUCGUUUUUCGUUUACAAUGAUUUAUUGUUACUUACAGAUGUACACACGAUUGCCGUCUGUAUCCUACCUUCCAACUUCUCACCUACAAUAGUGACUGCACCCACGUGCAAAGUAUUUCCGUCAUUUAGAUUCCGAUCAUAGCGAAGGAGCUAUUGAUUUUACAAUGCUGUUUAUUUCUUUGUUCUAGUCUAUGGACACAUUUUUUCCUAGUAAACUUUCUUCGACUUUUACGUGUUGUAAUUUUUCUGAAAGGUCAAGUUAUCUUGAUUGUACUUUAAAGAGGUCAUAUUUUGAGUCUCAAUACUAUUUUUUAAAUAAAAGCACUUAAGUGGGAAAAAAAAGUAGGAAAACGCAAAAUUUUACAAUUUCAUUUUUUUAUAAAAACACGGACGACGUUUUCUACUUGAGAAAAUGAUUUAAUCGAAAAAUUAAAACGUACAUUUUUUUCGACUUUUUGAUUUAUUCUUUCUUGCAAUAUCUUCACCAAAACUUUUGAGGCACUUUUGAUUUUUUCUGGAAUUUUAAUUUUUUGUUUUAAUUUGGUUAUAAAUAACUUAGAGACUUGAAACUUGGUAAUAAUAUUUAGAUUUGACGUACCUAGACUUGGUAAUAUUUUCAAAAUCAUCGGACUACUUUUUUUCCUUUUUUUAAUUUUUUUACAAUGGUAAUUAAUUUGUUUUGUUAAUACUGUAACCACUUUCAUUCAAGAAAACUUGCUCUAAUGUAUAAAUUUAACACCUUUUCUGAAAGUCAAUUUUAACUUCUUGAUUGUAUUGACCAAAAAAUGACCAAUGUAUGAUUGGUCAUUUUUUGAUCUUCGAAACGUUAUUUAAAAUAAAAACGAUUAAACGGGGAAAAGAAUACGAUUUUUUCACGAUUUCGUUAUUUUAAAUAAGUACCUAACACGUUUUCUAACACAAAUAUGGCUCCAAUUGAAAAACGACUAGUGACCUUUUUUGUUGAAUUAUCCAUCUUAUUUUAAUGAUGGGGUUCAUUUUUCUGAUUUUCGAAAUAGUUUUCAUAAUAAUCGGGAAAAAUCGUAAGAAGGUUGGAUUAAAAAAAAUUACGGCACUUCAAAUUAUGUAUUACCGAACUGCGUUCGGAAUCGUCUUUCAUUAUCAAUGGUUUAUUAUUGCUUACAGAUAUAAAUGAAAUAACCUUAUGUAUUCUACCUUCCCAACUUCUCACCUACAAUAGCGCCGCUCCCAUUCCCAGUAUCAGCUCUUUUUUAUAAUUGUAUUUCAAAUUAAAUUAAACGUAUAAUAAUAAUAAUAAUAAUUUAUAAUAGAUUAUAAUAGUCGAUAAUAGCUUAGAGCUAAUAUGAAAUAAUUUAUAUUUACGCAUGAACAGUAUACUCCUUAAUUUUUCUUACUAUUGAAUACACCAAUUAUUUUCAACUUAUUCAUUAAAUUUUAAUUUUAAAGUUUCUUGAACUAUCGUCUAAUUAUAUUAGACUAUUUAAAGAUUAUAUUUAUAUUUUAUACUCUUAGACCAGAGUUAAACAUCGAUCAAAGUAUGUCAUCUAAAAAACAAUCGUCUAUGACACAUUUUUUCAAAAAAUUAAACAUCUGAAAAUUUGCCUAAUUAUUUAAAAAAUUCUAUUGAGAAACCAUACUAACUACGUAGACAACUAAAUUAGACGAAAAUAGAUGCGUUCUCGUCGAAUCAAUAAUUACAACUAUAAUAGUUAUUAUUAUUGGGUAUAGUGGUUUAGAUGUUUUAAUAAGUAUUUAUGUCCUGAUACUGAUUAAAAUAUUUAUAAAUUCCGAAUCAAUAUAAUCGACAUAAAUGGCAUAAUAAGAUCGUAAAAUAUAUCAAGUUCAAGAAGUCAUAUAUAAAUGUGUAAUAUCAUUUUAUUUGAAUACAUAAACAAAACAUUUAGUACACAAUUGUUAACAAUAAAAAUAAAGAGUUUUUCAAAAAAUAAGGGAAAAUAUAUGUACAGAGUGUUCCAUUUAAAUGGGCACAUUUACUAUUUCGGAAAAUAUUAACUCACUUCGGAAUUUGUUUUAUAGAACACUUAAAAAACAAACAGCUCUACAAUUUUAAAUCGAUGUUAUUUUUCGUCCCCCUAUUUUUGGGGGUAAACCACUAUAGAUUUUCAAAUGGCACCUAUAUUAAUGAUUUAAAUAUGUUUUUAUUGGCCUCCAUCUAAAAAUCAAAAGUAAGUAGUGGCUUUAGCCCCAAGAAUAAAGGUGAAAAAAUAACAAAAAUGUAAAAUUGUAAAACCGCUUGUUCCUUAAAUGUUCUACAAAACAAAUUCCGAAAGAAUUAAACACUUUCCGAAAUAAUGAAUGCACUAACUUAAAAAAAAAACACCCUCUAUUAAUGACAAAGGUCAUUUACUAAUAGUACAAAAAAUAUAAAAAAUGUUUAGUAAAAAAAAAUAAAUUCAAAUUGUAUAAAUUCAAAUGUUAAAAAUAACCGAGAAAAACUUAUUUGAUGGUAAGGCAGUCCUGACUUUUUAUGUAUUUUGCGAUCGUCCGCUUGGAAAAUGACAUCGUGACCUCGGAGGUCUUUCCAGCGGACGACGUUCAUGAAUUUUUUUUAUCAACCGUCAUUAAGAUUUCAAAAUUUUCACAGUCCACGGACGGAUUGCUAGUCGUGACUGCGCACAUUACUUCGGAGUCACAACACUCGACAUUCCCAGCCGUUUUGACUUUUUCCGAUCGAGCACGUGGUACGCGCGUUUUCGAGACUAUUGUACGUCUUUUAUUUCGUUUUGCUGAGCGUUUGUUUACGUUCUUGGACGACGUCUUUAGUUGAUAUAGUUCGCCGAGUUCGCACCGCUCCACUCGCGGCGACCGAGAGCUGCCACAGUCCGCGCCCUCUUGGUGUUCAGUGUUUUUCCACUACGGGUUUUCAUCGUGCGCGCGGUCUCGUCUACUGUGCCGCAAACUCGAAUCUUCUUAUAACUUAUUAGAGAGUACGAAAAUUCGUACGCGUAGCAUGAAUUGUUUGAAAGUAUAUACGACGUCUGCACACACUGGGAUCUAAACGCACAGUGAUCAACAAUCAGAACACACGAGAUCGAUUCGAACGGAUAUUGUUCAUUUUCAGCUGUUUUAAAUACCACGAAGAUAUAACAAAUCUUAUCGGGCCGUAGUGAUAGCAAUAGCUGUUUUUUUUUUUGGACUUUUCUUAGGUUAUCAUAUUAUACACACACGUGGAUUUGAGUUUGAUAUACGGCGCACGGAGAUACAAAAAUCUAGCGGUCCAAUUUUUUUUUUUUAUUUAUUUUAUGGUGUCGGAUAACAUUUGUUCGCUUCUAAAAAUUCUCAUCAAUUUGCUAUGUGAUACUGUAUUCGUAUAUUUUAUAGUCACGAUAAUGGAUAUUAUAUGGUUUUUCAUCGAUCUCUACUGGAAUCUUCAAUAAAUGGCAGUCGAAUUAAAUCCCCUGAAUCAGCUGAUUUCUAGACCGCUAGCGCUUGUGUGACGGUGUAAUAAAAUGUUAUACAAUUAAAGAUAUCAACAAUUUAUUCUGCACUAUAGUGAAGUAUAAAUCCAGGCGGAGUGUGAUGUUUCAAGUUUUUCCUUGACUGGUGGUUUCAGUUCGGUAGACACUUUAUUAUUAAUCUAUGGUCAACCAUAGUGUCUAUUUGUUUUUUUAAUCGAACUGUGUUUUCGGUGCUGAUUUUCAAUCGAAUCUUGGACAUACCCUUUUUACACCCGCGGGCCACCGGAAUUCAUCCUGUCCCAGCAGCCACAAGUGUUUAUUUCCGCGGUAAUUAAAUGAAGUUUGAUUUUCACAGUGCUCGCAGUUUUCCUAUACGUUUUCGUUUUUAAACUUUACGAUAUUAAAUAAAUACGUACACAGACAAUCCUAUUUAUCCAGCGAAAACGCGUAAAGUUCUCGUUGGUCUCGCACGCCGGUAACUUUUGAUUCGCAUAUUUUCCGAAACGAAAUAAUAUAUUAUUAUAUUAGAUAAUUUGCGUACUCACGCUUUAAUAUAACAAAUUCUCCCACGUGCAUUGUAUUACAAUAGUCUUUAUAGUCAUGUAUAAUAAUAAUAUUAUGUUCACCAUAUGAGAUCGCCGGGUCUGUUCUUGAAGUUUUUUUUACUUCGGGCGUUUUUCGAUUUGAUAUUUUACGCGAAAACCUCAAAACACGCGUGCUCGUAAAUUUAACAUAAUAUAUAAUCGCAAUGGUUUGUUAUUAAAUAACAAUGUUUUCGCGGUAUAACAACAUUAUAACAAUAAAUUAUUAGUCACAUACAAACGUAUAUUUUUAAAAGUCGAAGGCGGCCCACUACUCACCAAUUAACUCGCCAAAACACGCAUACCGCGAUUCCCGUAGACAUUAAAACUGGUAAUAAUCAAUCGAUUACCUACACAUAUAUAUUAUGUAUAUACGUAGAUGUUUAUCUAUCCAGAGAUACCUACAAUAACCGCACGAAUAAUUAUCCGCUACGGGCGCUAGUAGGCAUACACAUUAUACACAUAUUAUAAAAACUAAACCUAUUGACUGCAGGAUUCGCCGAUUGUCUUGUAUAUAAUAUACAGAUAACACACUGUUAUAAAAUAUAGGUCGUCAGGCGAUCAACAAAGAUCGGUUGUAUCUGUAAAAAUCCUCUGCUCGUUCUUUAUUACGACGACUGUAACUGCUGCGGUACGCCCACGUUUCAUUUCGACGGUGUUUUUUUAUUUCUUUACGUACAUUUUGUCGUCACGUUAUUGUGAAUUUUACAUCGAUGACGUUUUAAAAUAAAAAUAAUAUAUACGGGUACAGUCGUGUCGUAAUUAAAUUACGACCGGGGAAUUUCAAUAAACCGCAUCACUCCCGUCCGAAUGAUAAAUAGGUACGUUUGCGCGUUAUACCGCGGUUAAAUCCGAUGUUCGGCGGUCAUAUAUUAGGCACGCCGGAAGAAAGUACUGCUACUUAAAACUUCGCGGCAACACGAUACUUCGUGAAUAUUAUAUGUUAUAGGUACACGCGAUGAUCGUGAGCGCCGUUUCUUUGUGUACCGCAUUUCCUUUGUACGCUCCUGCAGUACUCUGUAGUCUCGCUGUACGAUCAGACUGCGUGUUACCGCGGCCUAUAAAGUCACGGUAAUAUAAUCGACUCUUUUUCGCGAUAGCAAACGAGAAUUUCUGUAAAUAGAUACGUUGAUUUUGACGAACGGACGACUUUUAUAUCGAUCGUGACGUAUAUGACUGCAGUCGAUUUAUGCCGAAAUGUCACGUACAUAAAUAAACGAAUAACCGCGGCGGUUGUCGUUGUUAAAUUUUACGACAAUAAUAAUCGUUAAACGAUAUAAUUUGUUUAACGCGAGACCGAGUGAUAAUUACAUUAAUAUUAUCGAGAGCACCUAAAUUUCCGCUCGAACAGACAUAAUAUUAAUAAUAAUAAUACAUCUGCAUAAAUCGUCACUUUAACUAGGCACUUCCAAAUAAAAAAAAAAAAAAAAACAACAACGCACACACUGGGCGAUAGGCAUUGGUAUGCAUUGGUAAACACGUGACUAUUGAGUCUACCUGAUUUAGUAUAUUUUUCUUUUAUAUGAAAUACCUACUAGUUACUUUAAUGAUUAAAAAUAGAUAAUUACUGCACACGAAUGUGCUGUGCAUAUACAAUACAAUACUUUUGAUCGUAACGAUAUUCGUACACGUAUUUCGUAUCAAAAUUCGUGUACAACAAUUAAUUAAAUUUUGAACGAUAAAAUAUUUAUGUAAUUGGGUCAAAAAAAGAUAAUUGGGAAUCGCCGCAAAGCUGAGACCCAAGUGGAUAAAUAAAACAGUGCAGGCCAAUUAUAUUCGGUGAUACUCUUCUAUUGGUCGACGCGUUAUCACUGUUAUCAGCCAUACGUUUAGUCGCGAAAUCUUAAUAUUUUCUGUGCACGCGAUCAAUAACUAUAGGGAUUUAUAUUAUGUUUUUUUAUUUGAGUUUGAAACAUUUAUACUGCGUGAUAGUAAACGCGGUGAUUGUAUUCUGUGUACAAAAUAAGUAGGCUACACUAUAUUUUAUUCGUCUGUAAUAUUACAGUCCGCUGUAAUAUUGACGUAAGGUAUACGAGACAUACCUAAUAUCUCGAAAUAUCUACGAAUAUUCAUCGAGCCUUAUGGUUUAUAUCGGCUGACCGAAAAUUCAAUAAUAUUUAUAGUAUUGUGCUCGUGAUAUUAUACACUCCACAGAGUGCACGCGCCGAUUCUAAAAUUAUAAUAUAUAGUUCGAUAAAAUCGCCGUCCAUUUAUAGUUAAGUGCUACUGGAGUUAUUAACAAUAAUUAUUAUUAGGCAUAUACGGCGUACUAUAUACGUGAUAGGAAAAACAAAUUUAAAUUGUUCCGUUUAAAUUGAACGUGAACUCGUAAUGAUCAUUACUACUAUUGUUAUAUAGUUACCUAAAUAACAUAAUAUUAUAAUAGUUCGUUUGUAAUAUACUAACGAGAUUAAUGUAAUUUUAAACAAAAAAAAUGAAACACGUGUUAAUCUUCACAAAGCGUGAAUUGUUUAGGAAGAAAAAUGUGUAUAUAUAUAUAUAUAUAUAUGUAUUUAAAAAAAAAAAGAAAGGCCGAGAUAAAAAAAAUGGGGUAAAAAUGGUAAUAUUCAUAAUGUACGAGUAUUAUACGAAUACAUUUUAUGUCGAGGCACGCAAAUUGAAUCGACACGCUGACGUACCUCCUCUUUUGUGUGCUGUAUCGUGUAACGAAAACAAAGAGGUCGCGUUAAUUAAAUGACACCGUAAUUAUAGGUUAGGUAUUGAAUUUUUUUUUCUUCACACAUACGUGAACACCGCAAACACUAUCUGUAGACAUCGCGCCUAGUUGCGUUAUGAUAGGAUAGGCGUCUUGAACGCCUCGGGCGCUUGUAAGUUUAAACCGUUUUAUCGUCGCAAUUAUCGUCUUUGUAGACUCCCGAGACUUCGCUGUCGUCGUUUCUCUCGUGUUUGUGCUACACGAUUAAUAUAGAAAUUUCUAUAUUUUUUUUUUUUUUAUAAUAAUAUUCGAUAUCGAUUGGUAUUUAAAAUUACACAUAUCAUCAUUGUAUAGGUUGUUUAUCAAUUGUAUAAACAUAAUGUGUUGAUUUCAAAUCAAGUUAAGUUAAACAAAUAUCUGCAAUUUCUUCAACACGAUAUUAAAUUUACAAUUUACAGGUGAACAAUAUUUUCUUGAAUAUUAUUGUGCGAUUAGUAUAACGAUAAUCGGGGUCAAUCAUGGACGAAAUACUUUUGUAUUUUUAUUACGCCAUGAAAUUUAUAGUGAAUAUCCAUACAGUCAUAUCGAGCUAACAGAUAGAUAGAUAAGUUAAAUAGAUAAGUAAUGAGAUGUUUCAUGAUGGUGUGAAUAAAAAUAUUGAAUCAUUUCUUCCACGACUACUUAUCCAAUUACUCAUUAUAAUUUUUGUUUUUGCUAUUUUAAUCAUUUGAAUGGAGUUUUCAGUUUACGAAAUAAGUGUAUUCAAUAGAUAUUCUCGUAAUAAAAUCCACGUGUUAAACCAUUAAUUACCGUAAUUUUUGCAAAAUCGCUUCUGGGUUAUAAUAUAAUAUAAUAUAUAUAUUCACGUAAAACUAUAAUAAUUUUACAAAAAACCAAUACAAAUUAACUCAACUUAAAUUAAUAAAUACAGUUCAUUAAAUUUGAAUUCGUGGUUAACUCGGUGAACCUGAGUAUAAUAAAACAAUCAACUUCGAAUUUAACUGAUUUAAUAUUAUUUGCUAACUAAUUGAACAACCUUGAUAACAUUAUUAGGCCUACAUUAUUACAUAAAACUAAUUUAUAACAAUAAUUUGUUAAUAUUAUAAUAUUAUUUCAAUAGUCGUGCAUUUUUUGAUUUAUUUUUUUUUAGAUUCUGAGUGAAUGUAUUGGUUUAACGAUGAUGUUUAUUUUUUUAGUGUGUACCAUUUUUGUACCAGAAAGCAUACUCUGAUUAUCAAAUAUAGCACCUUUUUUGAAAGCAAAUAUUUUCUGGGUGGUACUUUAAAGAGGUUAUUUUUUUGAAAUUCUGAUUAAUAUUCGAGAUAAUGAAGAAAACUUGGUUCUUUAGGUUGAAAAUAUUGAAAAAUUAAAAAAACGGCUGUCAUUGGCAAGCGUUUUUAUUUAUUUUUUGUUAUUUUAAUAUUUUUUAAACAAUUAUUGUUGUCAUGGAAACUCAUAUUGUUGAAAUCAUUUUAGCGUAAUAGAUCCCAUAUUAUAUUUUUGACAAAGCAACACUGUCAACUGAACUCCGUUCAGAAUUGUUUUUUAGCAAUGGUUUAUCGUUGCUUAUUGAUAUACAUUAAAUUCCCGUCUGUAUCCUACCUUCCUGAAUUCCCACUUACAACAGUGGCUGCACACACGUGCUAAGUAUAUCCGUCCUUUUUUGUUAUAAUUGUCCUAUUUGCUUAUUAAUUUAUUAUAAUAUAAUAUAUAGUAACAAUAGAGAAAGAGAAUAAUAAUAAUAAUAAUAAUUUGAAUUACUUCCUUGUUGCUAUAAUAACGACUCGGUGGAGAAAAUAAUAAUUAUAAAUUAUCGGGUCAUUAUUGCAACAGGAUCUUUAUCAGCAAUUUGCAUCAUUCUCUAUAAUGAUGAAGUAAUAAUAUAAUUUUUAUUGUGUCUGUGAAUUUGUAGUGAAUUGUUUUAGCCGAUUUUAAUGCGUGUAGAUUUUUUAUUACAGAGUUUGAAUCGUGUGUAUUGUGUACACGAACAACGAAUUUAGUAAAUUGUGAAAUCUUCGUGUUUGAUUUUUUUUUUGGCCUAUUUUAUCGUUUUAAAUUUGUAAGUAACUUUUUUACCUUUUAUGGCCAUUUUUACAUAAACUACAUAUUUUUUUUUUAAUUUAUACAGGUUGUAUAUACUUUUGUUUUAUAUCCAUGUGUUUUCAAAUAUUAUUUACAAGCUGUUGUACUAAAUACAAAUAAUAACAAUACUUUAUUUAAAGUUGUAUAGUGCCUUAAAUGCACAAAUUUAAUUGUUAUACUAGAUUCUCAAUGUACCGAAGAUAAUGUUAGUUUUGCCAAGAUAGAGUUAUUUUUUCUCGGGAACCCCUAUGUUUUUUUUAGUCAGGCAAAAUGUUUUUAUUAUAAAUCCAUGCUCCAAAAGUGCAGAUUUUCCGCCCUAUGUGAUACUGUAUUUGAAAUUCCCGACAGCUCUCUUCUAAAUCUUUUGUUAUUAUUAUUUUUUUUUUGUAGAGAAAAACACUUUUAGUAAAUAAAAAUGAUUUAAAAUGUUUAAACGUACCUCCCUUAAAAGACAAGUUUUUCUCCCUACUUUACUUUAUUUGAAAGAUGUUUCUACAUUUCCAACGGCUCUUCUAAAAAAUUUAAAAAAAAAAACUUAACAAAUGACAGAUACUGUGGUUUUAUUUUUAUCGAUUUAUGGGUUGUUAUAAAUAUCCUAUACCUUCUCGAAUUCUUCCACACAACACAGUGACCCACCGACAGUACGAAAUAUUUCCGGCUUAUAUUGUAUUCACUUUUAUUGAAAUAUUUUGUUAUUCUCCGCGUGCGAACUAAAAUCGAAGAAUAUUGUUCGGCGUAGAGUGAUAUUGUAUACUGUCGACGAUAACAACAUUAUUAUUUACAAUUGAAGGCCGAAAAUAAAAUUUAAUUACAUGUCACCGUAAUAAUAUAACACAGUGUUGAACCAACGAACCCUGGCGUGAUUGGAUAAAAAUAAAUCUUUAUACUGAUCACUUGGAUAAGUAACAGUACAGCGAACAAAUAGUUGCGCGUACGAGGAUGUCGGCGACGAGAGAUAGUGCAACUUAAUAUUUUUCAGUUUUUCUGUGCAAAUAUCAACAAAAACGAGCGAUUCUCUUGUAUUUCAAUAGGUAUACCUAGUAACCAUGUUCACGCGAUUCGUAUCCAAAAUCGAGUUACAUUGUUAAAUAGAUGUUGAAAUAGAAAAUAAAUAGAUACAUUAACGGUAUAAAUGAAGCACACUUUGAAAAACAUGACGCAUAGUUUGAUUUAUUUUAAACCGAUCGAAAUUUCAACAGAUUUUCAAUCACCGAUGUAUUUGAAAACUGACGUACAAUUUCACGAGCUCGAUUCGUAUCAGUUUUCUAACUACGCCUGCUUGGUUUCGGCCGUUUGAAAAAUUAAUAAUAUUAUGUACAUUUCCGCAGCGUUCGAAUACAAUAGUAUAUAGUUGGUAUUCAACGCCUUGUCAAAAUACCGUGUCAGUUUAACUUGAAAAGUAUUUAAACGUUGUAUAGUAUAUUAUAUCGGAAUACAUUACAAUACUCAUUCAGUACAACCCCACUAGUCGAAUAACGCGAUUUGUUUUUUCAUAGUCCGCACGUAUACCCGUGUAUCAUUAGUAUAAGACACGCGGACGGUCAGCUAUGAGAGAGGUUACGACCUAUACUGCAGUACCUAUGUGUGCCAGGUGAUAUGAUAAUAUAUUAUAAAUCUCGUGGCGCCAAUUACUACGAUUACAUAUUAUAUGGGUGUAAUACGUAUUAAAAAAAAAAAUGAUAUUAUUAUUAAGCAUUAUGGCUGUGGACAGGUGAAAUAGUGUAUCGGCACAAGGUCAGUGUACGCGUUUGUCGUUUGUAAUCUAAUAUACACAUACACAAUAUAAUAUACUUCGAUAAAAUAUUUUAAGUAUAUAUUCUACAGGGUGAUUUCAACUAUUUUUAUUUGACAAAAAAUAUUUUCCAAUGUAUAGGUACUCCUAAUAUUACUUAGAUUACGUUAGGUUAGGUUUAAUAAAUUCGUAUUAUACCGUAUGCUAAUAUUAACUCUUCAUUUUUUAAAAGGAAUAUGUUAACCUUUUAAAAUUUAUCUAUUAACAUACUAUACCCAAUAAAUAUACAAUAAUAUUAUACCUGUAUUUAGAUGACAAUAAUAACCGUUUUCCCUACUACUCCUCAUUCGGACUAAAAACUGGGUUGUUUUAAACGUCAAAUCGUUUGAAAAUCAAAAUUUGACAUUUGUAUGUACAGUAUACUUUUAGUUAUAGUGAAUUUCCGAAAACAUUGUAAGCGACAGACGGCGGAAACGAAAUUGAAAAUCGAUUUUUACUCAAAAUUUACGUGUAUUAUAGCCGGAUCGUUGGAUUACGGUCGAAAAAACAAUACUACCACCCUGUAUAUAUUACGAUAUAAUAAAAUAAUAAUAAUAUUAUACGCGAAGAGCAGACCGAUCGUAUGGCGAUAGUGACAAUAUAAUAUUAUGAGCGUACAACAAGUCGACGACGGCGCACGCAGAAAAUCAAUUUUCCACAGGUGCGCGUGUUGUGUCGUGUCGGUGCCAAAAAAUGAAAAAAAUAAAAAUGUAAUAACGAUAUUAUUGACGGUAUAUUAUACACGUGCGUAUAAGUUACUUCGGGUAAAAAAAAAAAAACGUAUCGUGUUACGUUCAUCGACAGGCAAUAGUAUAAUAUAAUAUUAUUGUCUGUGGCCGUCGUCCGCAUGCAGCUGCUGGUAUAACACACACCGGACGAGCUCGUCGUUUCAAUAAGGUCAACCAUAUAGGUUCGAAUGACAAUUGUUUUUUUUUUUUUUUUUAGUCGUGCAUUUUUAAUAAGAAGUACUAUAUACAUUUUAUAUGAAAAAAAAAAAAAAACCAAGUGUAUUUGUACAUUAUUCACGAGCUAUAGGUACUAAAGAAGUUUAUAAGUACCUACAAGUAUAUCAUUUUUUUUUCAACCGUUAUUAUUUCUUAAAAUUAUCUAUAAUUUCAUACCCACCGUUUUAUAUAAUAAUUACCAUAUUAUUUUGUGCGACGACGACGACGACGGUAUAACGGUAAGAGUAUCAAUCGGUCACGAAAAUAUCGAUCGUAGGCAAGUAUAGCGUCUUGAGUGAACGCAUUAAUCAAACGACAUUUGACGGGCGAAAAGAUGUAUCCGAGAAGAAGAAAUAAUUAUUUCCUGUUUUUUCCUGCGCGAAAAGCGGUACAGAUAACACGACCUCAUGCCUAUAAUCUAUAAUAUUAGUUAUGAUAAUUCAAGGUUUACCGCGUGAUCAGCACGAAUUCGUAGCGAUUUUCAUGGGGUAGGAGGGAGAAAAUGGGAAGUUAUUUUUAUUUUUUUCUUCUUUCCGGAUACACCUUUUCGCUCAAUAUCAGAACGCGCGGUCUGGUUUUGGAGAAAUACGAGACACGCAGGUACACGCUGCUAUGGUUGAGAAGUGUGCACGGGAUGGACCGCGGCGUGUAAGCGAAAACUACACCAUCAGCUAUUAUACCCGACUAUCGACUAUAUCGGACGGCCGAAUGACCGAGAGUAGGGUACGAUGACACGAUAAGCGAGAGAGACGAGAGGAACGCGGGAAGGACGCGGAUUUAUAAUGAACGAGAGUGGAAUGAUAACGUCGUAUAUAUACACCCAAAUUGGAAGAAAUGAACCGUGGCCGGUAAUUCGACACCGGUGUCGGGGGUAUGGAAUGGAAGACGCUGCGGACAAGUGGUAGAUGGUACUGCGGUAACGGAGGAGGGACGACGGCGAGAGCGAAUUAUUGAAAGUUCUCCCCGGGCUGCGGGGGAAACGAUCUGAUUAUGGGCCCGGCCCGCGAGAACGGGGGAUUACUAUAAAGGGGCCGACUGUGAUGUAGCAGAUAAGAAACGGGCAGGCGUCUCUGGCUUUUCACUGCGCCAGCGUCGGCGGCGACGAGGGAUAUUUUCCUCUGUACAUUAGCCAAAGGCAAAUAACAUAUAUUAUUAUAUUACGUAUACAUGUAUACAGAAGAUACCUAUACAUAAUACAAUGUAAUAGCUGACGGCUGUCGAGAAGUUCGCCGCGCCGUGUGCGCCCCUCGUUUUCGGAAAAUAAGGUGUACUUUGCGGUUUAUAAUAAUAUAUCCGUCGCACACGUCUCGCAGAACGCCGGUGCACAUUUCAAGAGUUUCGGUUAACAAACCGGCCGAGAACUUUUAAAUCGGCCGUUUACGCGGACGCGUGUGCGUGUCUCUCGUGCAAUACGAUUAACGUUAUAUCGUGUUUGUAAUAAUACCGAGCACUGAUUAAGAGAUGGGCAAAUUCCCGAAAAAUGGAACAAUUAUCGACGAUUAACGUAGUAGUAUGUAUAGAAAAUUAUAAUAAACGUACGUUUAUCCAUAACAGAAUCGAUUCCGGUAGAAUAGCUCGAGUCUAUACAAUAAUGAUAUUAUAAGCGAAAUAAAAACAAAAACAAAAUUUAUAUUUCCGUAAUUUUGAUUAACGAGUAGCUAUACUUUAAUAACUGCAGAUAUUAAGUAAUCUCCGUUUGAUUGUGGACCCGAAUGAACCUUUAACAGUGUGAAUGUGUGACCAGUUUGAAGAGUAGUGACAGAAAAAUGUUUUCAAAUUCGAGAAGAACCACUGUAAUAUGCCGUGGAAAUAUUCCCGAUGAACUCACGAAUAUAUAUAUAUAUUUUUUUUUUUUUGAAAUAUCUCGUGGCAAAACACCGUACAAUCACAAGUCCGGGUUGCAAACACCGAAUGCGUAUAAUACAGACCCCCGACACUAUAUAUACGAGUAUAUUUAAGUUCUGUACAAUUUUAAUGGCUCUGUAACGAGUAAAUAAUGUUGAAUAAAAUAAUUUCUAAAUAAUUGAAUGCCGAAACACAUUUACCGCGUAUAUGUACUGAUAAAUCGGUGGUUAUGCGAAGUGUUCUCGCAAAAGCUUUUCCAUCCCAUUUCUUUCGGGCCGCAAAAAGUACACGUUUAUAAUAUAUAUUUUUGGAUUUCAAUGCGGAAAUCGGAUACGAUUCUCAAAUGUAAGUCUAAGGUCAAUCCAAUCUGUAAAGAUUUCGGAUACAAAGUCGGAACUGUAAGUUACGGCAACGUUCAGUAUGUUAUUUUAUAGAUCCGUAAGCGCGAUAUAAUGAUUCUGUAAGUAGCUACAGAACGUCUACGCGAUCCGUAGUGUUCUGUUUACUACCGACUCGUACAUUGUCAUUUUAAUUUUGCCGGAUUCAAAAACGUUACAUUUUUCAAUUAAUUAACAACGCCGAUAAAUUUUACUGCGCGCGUAAAUGUGUACGCGAGAUUUUGCGAUUUCAUUUUCUAAAAACACUCUCGGACAAAAAUCAAUAUUUUUUCUAAUAACUUUAACAGUGUAGCGUGGUGCUUAUUAUUAUAGGUAGAAAACGACGCUGGGAAAAAGUGACGCUCCGAGUCGGACGAUUUCUAAAAACACUGGAAAUUAGUAUAUUAUUGCGUUCGACUUGCCUUAAAAACCGAUUUUUAGACGACGUGUUAUACGCACCCAAUAACGGACUCUUAUAUUAAUAAAACAGUCUCCCUAAGACGGCGUCUUUCGUUCGUAUGAUUCCCAUUUCAAAAGCUCCGGUUUGCACGAAAACCCCUCUUGACCGUGUUCGCGGAUUCCCUUUCAAACGAAUUUGUAUGUCGGGAGGUUUCGUAUACGUUUAUAUAUAUAUAUGUACCUAAUACGUAUUAUGCGGAGGACUCAAACUAAAGCAGGAUUAACCGAUUUUGCGGGGUGACGUAGGAUCUGCGGGGUCAUGAGACAUUUUAUGUUGUUCGACUGCCUGGCAAUUCGUUUAGCGGUUUCCCGAGGGACCGAAAAACAAUUCGGAAUAAACGAUUUCGCGUCAAAAUCACACGGCCGAACGCGAAACGACGCACGUUGAAUAGCUAAACACGAAUAUUGCAUUUAUAUGAGAAAAAAUGAGAUGAUAUUGGAGACGGGUGCGGUCACUGUUGUAGGCGAGUAGUUGAGAAGAUGGGAUACAUAAAACUAUUUAAUUUAUACCUGUAACCAACGACGAACCAUUGCGAAGUUUGGUUACACACAUGUUCUGAAAGGCCAUAAUAUUUAUAAACGAUUUACGAUAUGAUUUUAAAACUCUAAUAAACUACAGUGUAUUCAACGAGUUUUUUUUUUUUUUUUGGGCCACUAAAACCAAAUUAAAAUUUGAUAUAGUUUUGAAAUAGAAUUAAUUGAAUUGCAAUAAAAAAAUAAAAUUUAAAAUAACAGAAGAAUUAUUUUUGUACAUUUUUUUUCUUCAUAAUUUUCCAUUCUUUUACGUAUUUCUCAGUUUUGCUCAAUUAUUUAAAAACCAUAAAAAAAUUCGAAAAAAAACUUUUUUAGUCACCAACUAUAUUAUAAAUUCAACAAUAAAUAUCACAUGUUAUUUUUCUAUUGGAACAAUAUUUUUUGUAGAAAACAUACAAGUUCAGUAAUAACCAACAGUUUUUUAUCAUUAGCAAUUAUUAUUAUCGAGCCAAAAAAAUGUGUAUGUAUAUUUUUACCGAGAAAAGUGUUAUUGGCAAGAAAAUCGUCUAAAAAUAAAAUAUUAUUUACGAAGAAUAUAUUUUAUAAAUACAUGCGAACGUUUGAUGUAAAAUAGAAUGCAUAAUAUAUAGUAUUACAGUUAUGGAAAAUAGAGAAAAUAAAAAUGGCAAUUUCUGAACACGAAAACACACUGCUGUUAAGUCAAACAGAUAGAGGAUCGCGAAAACGUUGAUUGCAGGUCAGCAAGAUACCUAUACAUGAGUAUAGCGCGAAUUACUUACUUGUUCGGACAUUUUUCAAUCGUAUAAAAAAAAACUCUUGCAUUCUUCCUGUCAUUUCGGAUCGGUGCUGCAGUGUCAGAGCUAACUAUAGAGUGCGAACUAUUCGCAUUCCUAUUUCACUCUCGAUUUUAAGUUAAAUAAUAAAGUAUAUAAUUGGAAACAACGGAAGCCGUGUAGGUACUGCAGCCUUCAGAGAGCGAAACCCGAUCGGAAUAUUUUUCGGUUCGGACACAAAUCGACGUCCGUAGUCCAGUAGAAAUUUUGAUCAAACCACGUCGCUACACGUAAGUCUCAAAUAAGUAAUUCCGUAUAAAUAGACUUGGUAUAUGGUAUAUAUGUAUACGGUAUAAAAGUAAUACAUUUUCUUAAGCGGUUAAGAGAAACGUAAUAUUAUUAUUAUUAUUAUUAUUAUAUUACAUCGAGUUACCCUAUAAAAAAUAAUAAUUUAUUGUAAUAGGGUAUACGGUAAGUUUUUUGAGCAUUUAGGUUCGUCUGUCUGUCGCGUACAUGCAAUGGGUAAUAUUAUGCUCGAGGAGGGUCAAAUUUAUACCGCCAUGAAGAUAAUAUUAUAUACAUAAUCUAUACGAGUUUAUUGAAGACACGUGUUUCGAAGCGAAACCUGGACGAUAUCAGUAGAAGAACAAAAUAAUUAACGCGUUUGAAAUGUGUUACUAUACAGAGAAUCUUAAGAAUAAUCCGGGCUGAGCGGAUAUAUCGAAUGAAAAAGUACUAAUUAUAGAGUAUAGAUAUAGGAAAAAAAAACACUUUAAUUAUGGUAAAGUUUGAUAAGAAGACGAAAUGGCUAAAUCGGCCGUCGUAUACAACAUAAUUAGAAAAUCAGCCACGAAAGUCGGUUGAAACCGAUUGUAGGGGUUAGCGCCGAAGGGGAGAAUCGCGUAUAUAGGAAGACCUACAGGCUGAAAUAUAUACGUAUUAUAUAGAAAUCGGAUCACGAAGGUUCGUAUAUUUGUCAAAGUUUCGCCCGAAAAUAGAGAUUAUUUCACUGUAUUGUAUAUUGUGUAUAAUAUAUAUUUUUUCCUCUACUUUUGGUGUGUUUAUAGCCGUCACUUCUGAAUCAAAUAAUUUCGGAUUUGGGAACUACAGUUGUGUUAUAGGCUGACAACAUUUUGGUUGAAUUUCAAUAAGAAUUUCAGCAUGUCGUUGCGAAAAAGUGUAGGGUUUAGCUUUGUGUAGCCCUUAAAACUUGCCAAAUAAUAGGCAGGGGGAGAGUCGAAAUUUUACAUAUGCAUGAUGCAAGUACCGAGGAUUUCUUUGCAAAACCGUUUUUUAAACACCCUAUUAACAAAACACGCCGUCGAUAUUAUUAGGAAUAUUUUCCAUUAUUAACGAUAGGUAUAUCUUUCCGUAAAAAUAAAACGAUAAGAUUCGGAGAUCCUAUACGUGUUACGUAGCCUGUGCAUAUAGGGCCCGGAAAUCCUGCGUAAGGAUAUAGCCGGCGAGUCGUAGGAUCCCUGUGAUGAUCAAAGACCACGUGUUUUAGAUUCUAAGUGGAGCGAAGUAUGGUUUUACAAAGAUGUUUUUUUUUUUUUCUAUGGAUGAUUUUCCUACCCGAAGACGUGCUCCGAUUUUAACGUGUAGCACUUUUUCUGGUAAAAAAAACCGGUAUGGGAAGGUACCUUACAGGUUAUUUUUCAAUUUUCUCAAGAGUUGUCUCGUCAAAUGCGAAAAACCGAAAGAAAAAACGGGGAAAUGUACGAAAUAUAUUUGUAUAAUAUUACGAUAUUUUUUUUUUCUCUGGACAACUUUUCUAUCGGCAAUUUCGCUCCAACUUAUAACGAUGGCAAUUUUCUAGAAGGAAAUUUCACCGCGGAGUUACUUUAAAGACGUGGUUUUUCGAUUUUCUCCGGAGUUUUCUCGGCAAAUGUGAAAAACUGGGGAAAACCUUGGGAAAACCGGGGAUAUCGGUACAACUUUAAACAGAUAUUAUUAAAGAAAGUAUAUAGAGCCUAUUUAAUUAUUUUACUAUAAUAUGGCGUUUAUCAUAUUGUUGACAAAGCAACACUGUCGACCGAACUCCUCUCAGAAUGGUUUUUUUUUUUUUUUUUUCGUAAUCAAUGGUUUAUCGUCUUUUUUUCUUCCCCCCCCCCCCNUUUUUUUUUUUUUUUCGUAAUCAAUGGUUUUUCGUCUUUUUUUCUUCCCCCCCCCCCCCAGCAGUCGAUUCGGCGCUUCACCCGUUCACACAUCGCUUUUCGGUAUAGAUUACAAUUAUUACGCGCGACGGUCCAAUAAUUGCUGCGCCCGGGCCCAGGAGACGGGUGGCGCGACCGCGUCGAAUACACAGAGGUCCGUCGUCAUCGUCCGCUAUCGCUGCACGCGCGCCCGUACCCGGUGUUGUGACGCGGCCAACAAUGACCCUUGCCCCGCGUUACCCGAACCCGUCCGGUAGUAAGGUGUAACUGUGCCUGAUGAACAUACGCCUAUCCAUUGGCCCGCGGGCGCGUCGCUGUGUAAUGCAACGCGGAACAUUUGUUGUUCGAGAGAUUAUCGAUUUCGGGAAAGCGCGGACCGCACACCGCGAUCGCGAUUACAAUAAUAUUAUAACAAUACACGAAUAAAAAACCAACGAAAAAUUACCGGUAUAAUUAUUAUAAUAUUAUGUACGAUUAUCGAUUGGGUAAUUAAAACGGUUUUAUGUGCGUACGUGAUUUCUCGCACAUUACAAAUAAUAUCAUCGCGUUCGGUCAGUAACACGCAACGCCGUUUAAUUAAAUUCGGGAUUCACGAAUAAAUACGAGUUGUUAUUCGUCGCGUCAUGACACGCGGAACGCCGCAGAAGAGAGGCGAGUAAUAAUAUCGAUAACGAGUAUGAUAAUAGGCUCGAUAGAAAAAAAAAAAAAAAAUGAUUAUUAUAUCAUGUACGGCCGUCGGCUGUAGGACACGGGGGCAAAAAGAGAAAAAAAGUCCGCGCUAACCCACCCCCCUCCCCCCUCACCGUUCUCAUUAGCACAAAGCGGUUGUUAAUCGAUUGGAAUAAUAAUAAUUAUUAUUAUCUUCGGCCCUACGCACUUCGUCUUUUGCGCUUUAUAGAAAAAAGAAAAAAAAAACCCGUUCGCGACGUUUUAUUUAUAUACGACACGAGUGUCGAGGCGAUGGGAGAACGAAAAAAAAAAAAAAAACCACCGUAAGAUACGUGCCCGGACGCAUCGCUCGGAUUACAACGUGCCGCACCAAUUAGCCGCGGUGCGGGCGCGGUAGCGUAACAUUUUCUUUUCAAUCCGUACGGUCCCGCGCGUUUUUCGAAUUUCGACGCGCGGUCUGUCGUCGCGUAUAAUUUCGACCGAACGGCCGCUGUUUUUCCGCACGGUUACCGUUGUAUAUGUGCGCGCGCGCGCUCGUUUCCCCCCCCUCCCCAUAAAACACCGCGUUACACAAUUUUACCAAUAACACCGAUACCCAUGCGCGCGCGAAGCGAUGCGCGCGGCGUUCCACACGCGGCGCUUGAGAAUUCGCCCUCGUUUGUCGUAUCGUUUCCGAAACGCGUGAUUGUGUCGUGGUUAUUGGGCGGCGCCUGUUUUUAAACACGGUCAAACACGAGAGCGCGCGUCUGCGCCGGGUACGCGCAAAACGUUGCGUCGCCGUAACGUACAACCGUUGGUGUGUCGCCGCGGUUUUCCGACACGCGAAAUCGCGCUACCAAGAGACGCCGAACAACCGCCACGGCCGCGGCGAGCGGUCAGCUACGCCGGUAAACCGGCCGGUUGCGAUAAGACGGCGAGCGCGUAGCGGAGAGCACGGCGGCCGUAUUGUUUCGGACGGUCGGACGCGUUCGGGGCGUUCACACGACGAAAUGAAUUGCCACGCGCACGGAUCAAGAGCAAAGAUCUGAGGGGGCGGUGGGUGGGGGGGGGAAGGUGAGAGAGGAAAGGACCCGACAGUUUUUUCACAACACGAAUACAAUUAAAAUAUAAUUGCAUACAUUGUUGUACGUUAUUUUUGCAUGCGCAUCAGUGAUUGGAAUAUGGUGGCAUCGGGAUUUAUAGAAUUAUGGAAAAAAAAAAAAAAAAUCGGAGAAAUAACAUGUCUGAGGAGAGUGGCCCAGGCCCCCUUUGGAUCCGUCCCUGAACGGACAUAAUAGUCGAUGGUACGGGCGUAUAAUACACAGUGACGUACGUAUUUUUCAAGGCGGAAUAUUGGCCGCGAAAAGAAAAAGAUACGGGCGUACGUGACACGCACGAUGGACGGGCUGUUGCAUGCGAGUAGUCGGGAAGGUAUAGUAGAUGGGAAAUUUAAUGUACGCAACGAUUAACCGUCGCUAACGAAAACGAUUCUGAGCAGAGUACGGUUAAUAGCGUUGCUUUGUCAACAAUAUAUAUAUAUGUUAUACAUUACGGUAAAAUAAUUACGUUUGUAUUAUAUUUUUAUUUUUAUAAUAUUUGUUUAACAUCGUACCUUUAUUCUCCUUAAAGAUUUUCGGUCGGAUUUUCUUUUAGAAAAAAAACGAUUUGCUUGAAAAUCUGAAUAAAAUUUCUGGUAUAGAAGCGUUGUUCACGCAAAAUAAAAAUAAAAACAUUGUAAAACCAAUAUAUUCCUCGCUCCGCUCAGAAUCCAAAAUUAGUAUUAAAUGUUCUCAACAAUUGUGAAAACUAUAAUGGCCUCUUUUACUUCUUCGUCUUCUUCUCGUAUCCGAUCGGUGUUUGCACGUGCAUCUCAAUGAGCCAACAUUGCGCGAACAUAACUCAUUCCCUUGUAAUUACAUUACAAUUCCUUCAACAAGUUAAAAAUUCGAGUCGACUCUGAGUUUAAAGUUUAAAUCCUUGAAACAAUACGAUAUUCUUAACCGCGUGUCUAUCGUAGAUAAUUUGCAUUUCAUGUACCCAAUCUCCUUGGUCCGCCUCGUCCGUUGUGAGCAGGCCAUUAUUCCGUUUUCCGUGUCUUUUGACAAUCUAUUGCUAUUGAGUAAAUAACAUUAGUUUUAUUAUUUCUAUAUUUUUUACGUUAAAAACUGCGUGUUACCAAUUUUAUAGAUGAUUGCAUCUUACAAAUUUUUCCUAUAUCUAUGUUUUCGGUAAAUCGUUACUUCGCAUAAUUAUGUUCCAACACGUAAAAAAAAAAAAAAAAAAUGUUUAACGACCGCGAAAAACGUUCAAAAAAUUUCAAUGAAAACAAAAAAAAAAAAAUAAAAAAAAAACUGCUCAAUCAUGAACUUUAUUUGGUAUACUAAAAAUAAAAAAGUGAUAUGAAAAAUGAAAAAAAAAAACGCAUCGUCUUCUGUUAAUAUUCGUAAUAUUCGCGGAUACUUUUCAAAAUGUUUUCUCCCAUAACAAUACGACGGUGUACGUAAAUGUGGUGACGGCGACGAUAAAAAAGUAAAUAAAUACAUUUUUCGGCGUUUAUUAUAUUUAUAUCGUAUAUACAGGGAGAUCAACAUAUAACGUAGGUAAUGACCACACAAUUAAUGUUUUACCCUCUCCCUGGCUACAAAACGACAAACUUAAAAUGUGAAAUAUCAUCUCGUAAACGUGUCAUGGAAACCGACAAUUUCAACACCGAAAUAUAUUUAAUUAACUUAUACUUAAUUUAUUUACGGAAUUUCUCUUAUAUCAGUUGCCAUUCGAAGAUCAAAAGUGGGUAUUGGAUCCACCCCCGAAAAUAAGGAUAACAUAAAACAACGGUUACAUUUUAUAGGAGUGCUAGUUGUUUUUUAAAUUUUCCGAAAAAAAAUUUCGAAAAAUCUUUAGACGAUUUACGUUAUAUUGUUCACUUCAGCGGUCCAUCAGGACUAUCCACUUUUCAAAAAAAAAAAAAAAAAUCUGUGUUAUGUAAUUACUACCACUGCAGUUAAAAAACGAAUUUUCUACGUAGAAAUAAAAACAGAAGGAUUUUAUAAUACUUUAGACGUCAUUUUUAUGCUCCGAAACGAACAAACGUUGUUUUAAUUUGAAAAUAAUGAUACAUGGUUAAUAGAUACACAAUAUAUAACCCAACUUUAGAAGCUUCGGACCUAACUCCAACAAAAUUUAUAGAUGGCAAAAUAAUUUGUCGCUAUGUCGAAAUAUCUUAUCUGUCGAAUGGGUUUAUUACCGAAUUGAUAAACGCCCAAUAACGACUGAGUAAAAUCUUAAUACAGAUUCUAAAUUUUAAACAGUUUAUUCCGCUGGGUAAAAAAAUAAAAUAAACAUGUGUGUAACAAGUUUACUUGAAUAUACUAACAAAAUCAACAAAAUUAUUAUAAUAUAUUCCGUCCAAACGUAUCGAGAUUAACCUAAAAAAAAAUAUGUCUAGAUACGCCACUGUGGAUCGCCCUGUAUACUGCCGAAGUGUAUGUGCAGUGUUAUUAUUAUCGUUGUCGUACCCGAGAGUCGCUCUGUUACGCGAGACACGUUCUUCGCACUGUGUAUUUCAUUUUUCACUUAAGGCACUCGUUCGCAGCCUUCUUUAUAAUAUUAUCAUCGUCCGCACAGUUACUAUAAUAUACUCCCGUCGGCUAUCGCUCACGAAUUCGUCAAAAAAAAAAAAACCCGUCUUAUUGUUGUGGCUGGAGGUAUGGGACAGCGCGGUACUGGAUUUAACUGUUUAAUAAUCGCGCGUAGUCAUCGCCCGUCUCGAUACAAUUAUUUUUAAAAAUAACACAGAACAAAAAAUAGAUUACGUUUAGAAAUAAUUUCAAACUGGAUGAUAAUACUACAUAUUGCCCAGCCCAUAUCAUAAUCAGAGAUUGGCUAUGACCGUACGAACCAAACCAAUAAUAAUAUUGUUACAUUUUCCGAUUUUUCUAAUACCCUGUCGUAAAAAUUCCGGACGUUAACCACUAGCGCUAUUAGUUCACUCAGUCGCCACAAUUAUAUUAUAGCAAAAUGACGCGUCCCAUGAAAAACGCUGAUAAGAGCAGUUUUUUGAUCUCUUAUAUUAUACAGACUCUAUAGAACUAUCCAUAAACAUAAGAAGAAUUAACCAGGAAUCACGGCCGUUUUACGUGUAAUACCAAAUUAUUGAAGGCAGCAGAAUAUAUGCGAGGUAAGGAUUUCCUCGUGGCAGAACAAAUAUCUAAUGGUUUUUAUUUUUCCAUGAUAAUUAUAAAAUAGUUAAGUAUGAAAAAAUACUGACUUAACUUUUACUGUAAUAAAAAAAAAAAGUCUGAGUCCGCGAUUUGUAAUGACAAAUACGGAUUAUUGCAUUCAUAAGACUACUAUAAGAUACCAUAAGAUACUAUUAGUAGUCUAUAAUAAGUACGUAUAAUACCUAUUUACUGCAUUUAGAUAAUCUUUGAUAAAACCGCAAAUGCGCUGUUUGUAAUACAACAAUGGUUUUAUGAUCAUUACCGGUCGAUUUAUCUUAAUAUGUCUAUGGGUUUACCUUUAUUCAUAUUUGAUCAAUUUUAUCGAGUAAACACGCCCACAAAAAAAGGUAAAAUAUGAUAAAUCCGUCGCUUACCUAUAUAAUAUAAUAGACUGCACUGCGUGAUUCGGUGGCGAUCAAAAUAUGCAAAAAAAAAAAACCGUUAGUUUAGUCCUCGAGUUAAGCCGGCAAUAACAGAGUGAGAGUGCACCAAAUAAUAUUAUCGUUUAUACUGCACAUUAAAACGUUUUUAUAAACUACAAUAUACACAGUAUUGUUUUCGUAAUGAUUCGAAAAUGUAAUCGACGGGUAGAAAAAAUAACGAAAUUAACAAGACACGAACAAACUUUAGCUGGGUAAUCUUAAAACAAAAUAUAAAUUAUAUAAAUACUAUACGAAACAAAAUAUAUUGAAGAUUUGAUCAAAACAAAUAGAAAUAUGAAGACUGCUUUACGCGAUUGACGCUUGAAAUAAUAAUAUUAUUAUCUAAUUGUAUUAUUUAUUUUUUAUUUUUUUAUCAACUGAUUUGGUUCUUAGUGAGAGGAAUGUAUUGGUUUUACAAUGAUGUUUAUUUUUUUAGUGUGAACCAUUUUUCUACCAGAAAGCAUAAUCUGAUUAUCAAAUACAGCACCUUUUUUGAAAGCAAAUGUUUUCUGUGUGGUACUUAAAAGUGGUCAUUUUUUUUAAAUUCUCGAUAACAUUCGAGAUAAUGAGGAAAACCUGGUUUUUUGGGUUAAAAACGAUUGGAAGAUUAAAAAACGGCUCUCAUUGGCAACUGUUUUGAUUUAUUUUUUGUUAUUAUUAUUUAUUUUUUUUUGUUAUUUUAAUAUUUUUGAAACAAUCAUUGUUGUCGUGGAAACGCAUAUUGUUGUUAUCAUUUAGUGUAAUAUAUUCCGUAUAUUAUAUUGUUGCCAAAGCAACACUGUCAACUGAGCUCCGCUCAAAAUCGUUUUUUCGUUAGCAAUGGUUUAUCGUUGCUUACAGAUGUACAUUAAAUUUCCGUCUGUAUCCUAACUUCCCAACUUCCCACCUACAACAGUGGUGCACUCGCAUGCGAUGUAUGUCCGUUUGUUUUAAUAAACUUCAAAAAAUUUUCGCUAAAUUCGUUUCUCUGUUUUCAUCGAAUUCGAUUAUAGGUACGUAAUGUUAUUUUUAUACGUGAUAUGACGUCGACUUUGUUGAACGCUUCGGACCGAGGUUUUGAAUGGAUGAUUCACCGCUGGUAAAUCUGUCUGUCAGGAUUUUUUUUUUUUUUUUUAUUGUCCACGUCUGGCUCAUCAUCGCGUUUACGCGGUCAUCGUGCGCAGCACGUGCGUCAAAACGUACGAAUAAAUUAGCGCCGUUCGUAAAAUAAUAAUGAUAAUAACAAUAAUAAUCAUAAUCAUAAUAACGAUAACUACGAUAAUAAAUAUAUGACGUGUAAUACACAUAAUAUUUUAUAUAUAUAUAUAUAUACAUAUAUACACGUAUAUACGUAUAAUAUACAUAGAGUGAAUCGUCGUCGGGGGAUAGACGAACGCGCGACGGAGGUUUAGUUCGAUUUGUCAAACGUGCUCGUUUUGCGAAAUAAACGCGUACCCGGGUCUCGUAAUGAGCCAAACCCAUCCCUUCGUGCCCCUACCACCGGGUAUAGGAGCCCAUCGUAUAGUCCGGUCACGUACUUCGGUCACCCUCCCCGGCGAUGGCGUUUUCCCCGUGUAUAUACUAUACGUAUAUAUUAUAUAUAUAUAUAUAUAUAGGUACGCGCACACACCCUGAUUGGAAAGAAGAAACGUCCGUAUUUCCCUGUAUACAUAUACAUAUAUAUAUAUAUAUAAACGACCGAACGGGUACAAUACGUUUGAAAACGGGGUGCAGUUACGGCGGUGGAGAUUUCGAAAAUUGUUUUUUUUUUUUCCCCAGUCCAAUAUGUCCGAAUGGAAACGAGCAGAAAUGAAAAUGUUAAGGUGUUACCGGGUGUUAGAUAGGUAUAUAGCGACGAAUAAAUAUUGUAUUAUAUAGAUUACAACGACCGGUGUAUGUAGUAGGAAAAAUAAAGAAAGCCAGAGAAACGAUGAGAUAAUAAAUAUGCGGACACCGGGUAUGACGCUGAAGAAAUAGUUGUCAUUCGAGGUUGAGAUACGAUGGCAUAUUAUGGGGAUAGUAUAUACGAGAAAAUGGUGACGGAUAAUAUGAGGUGACGCGGAGCGGAAGCUAAGAGGGUUGAUGAUCACAUCGCAUGCGUGAGAAAAAAGUGAUACUGGUGGGACAAGUUAGAAAUUAAAAUAGAUCGAGAAAGAGAAACGAUUGGAUAUAGUCAAGAAGUCGAGUGGAAUAGGUGGGAUACUAGAUGGAGACCAUAAAAGAGAAAAUAACUAAAGAAAAAAAAAAGAAGAGGUUAUCAGGAGAGAUUAAUGAGGGUUUAUAAGUGUAGUGUAGACGAGAAAAUGGCGACAAGUAUAUUUGGUAUGCGAUGUGAAAGGCGAGAAUAAGAGUUUAGUUGAACCCGACGCGCAACGGCCCCAUGAACAAACGUCGAAGGAAGAGAAUUGUUUAGGUUAUAUUAGUGUGGUUUUUUUUUUUUUUUUUAGUAAUUGACCAAUUAUAUGAUAAUUUACCUCGAACAUCAUUGAAAAAAUAGGAAAUUCCAUUUUACUUCGAUAACAUCGUUUGUUUUUAUUAUUAUUAUUAUUUUUUUUUUUUUCUGGUCGUAUUCCAUUUAAAGGAUGAAAAUCCACAAUCGUUUGUAAACCGUUGACCGGAAACCGGAGUUUUUACCGCGCCGGAAAUUUCGUCGGAAAUUACCGUUUUGUAUACAUAGAGCAUGCAGAAUAUUAUUAUAAGAAAUCGUGUUCAUUUGAAUUCCGGACGGCGCGGCGUGGUACGAUGAAACUACGUGUAAUAAUAUUAUCGAAUGAUAAAGUUUUUACGACUUGCUGUACGACGUCGUGGUCGUGUCAGAUUAGGAAAAAUAUAAUACAAAUUUAGUCUUGAUUAAAAAAAAUAUAACAGCCGUAAUAUUUGUCUAGGAAAACAGGCGCCGUGAACCACACGAACUAUCGUUUUUGAAAUAAUCGCGUUUUUAGACUUGCUUAGCCCAAAAACACUAUAUAAUUUCGUCAUGUCCGCUGUCUCAAAAUUCUUACGACUCCGUCAUUUUUCCGUCAUUUCGAUGAAAUUCUACGGAAAGGUGUGAACCUAUCCAUACAGAAUUGCGCAAUCAAAAAAUUUAAAAAAAUUAUUCAGGGGUAGUUUUCUGUACGUAGGAGGUAAACAUUUUAUUUUUCGCGUGCCCUAUUGUACGGCACAACGUCGAAAUUCAUACGGGAACCUUUGAAACUACACACUCGGGGAUUCGUAUUGGAUCCAUUUUCUAGCAACAAGGCAAACAGGAAGAAGAGAUUAAGACGAGAAAACAAAAGUGGACAAUAGACCAAAACAAGCCCAGAUUAUUUAAAAAUCAUAGAGUCGAAUGAAAUCCGGAUUUUGUCGACGGGCUCGCGUAAUCACAAAGUAAAGAAAAUGGACAAAAAAAAAAACGCCAGAAAACAGGUAAAAAUAAUUUUUGUAAAAACUAUAUCAAGCAAAAGAAGAAAAAAAAGGCACUUUCAAGUUUCAUAUUUAAACUCGUUGUAACAACGUGACAUAAACGUCCGUACAGUACUCCGUUUUAGAUUUAAUGACACAUAGAACAAACUCUAGUUACGGGCAUUUUAUUACGCGGUACAUUUUAUUACACUCGUUCGCAACGACAUGACCGGGACGACGGGGCUUAUCGGUGGAACGUAAAAGAAACAUUUCCCCCUCGAGGUCUUUCGACAAUAUUCCACAGCAGUGUGUGCGGUUUAAUGACGUCUGCGCGUUGCGUUGUUUUAGUAGUACAUGUAUGGUUGAAAUUUCCAAAAAGAAAAAAAAAUACCGCGCAAUUGUAGUAAAUGGCCCGUUACGGCGAGCAAUUUAUUUUGUCGUUAAAUGAGAAAUCGGGCUCCUCGGAAAAAAAAAAAAAACAAAAAUAUAUAAUAAUAAUGAUAAUAAAGGUUGGCGCCGCGAUCUAUCGAGCGGUUUCGCGGCUUUUUCGGAGGGAAAAAACGAAAAAAACCUAAAAACAAAAAAAAAAAAAACUACGGCGAGCAAUAUUUUCCCAAGAUAAAACGAUUUACGGUCAUUACUCAUUGUAGCAAUAUUGUUUGUUUUAUAUUUAUCGUUCAUUCCGUACGCCACUAUAUAGUAAUAGAAUAUCGGGCGCGUACGUCUCUCGACCGAUUUCCCGUAGUCGGAUAAAAUCGAAUUCUCGGCCACGUUUUAUGCGCGUGUAACGCGUGUCCGUAUAACAUACGCAUACCGUUAUAAAUAUUAUAUUGUUUACAGCCGAAACGAUCAUGAUUACCAUAGUGGUUACCUGCGAAUAUUUCACGUGGAAAUGUAAAAAAAAAACAAAAGCAACUAAAAAACAUUUAAUUCAUUAUUUGAUUGAGACAAAUUAUUUGCGUUGUGUUUUGAAACGCACUACGGUCAUCGGUAUCGAUAACUCGUAAACAUAGUGUAAUUUGAAAACGAGUCGACAUUUUUCGAACGUUUAAAAGUUGUACUAACAAUAGAUAGACCAUCUAUUGUUAGUACAACUUUUAAGUCUGUAAGUGUUUUAUUUUCAAAAAACAAAGACUGGAGUAGAUUCGGAAAUUGUAGAGGGUGUACGUUAGUUGAAGAUGACUGGUAUUAUCAAAAUAGAUAUGAAUAAUCAAAUUGAAAAUCGUUAACAUUAACACUGUCGAAAUCCGUCUAGUUUUUGUUUGGUUUUGUUUUUAUAACCGCGAUAAAUUUUAAGAUCCAGGCUCCAGGACCAUAUCGGGGUACCCACAGUAAAAAUAAAAAAAAAUAAAUAAUAAUAUUAAAAAGUUUCACUCGUAAUACUAUCGCGGAUUUCCCGACCCCGAAACGUCGUCCCUGAAUACACACCGAGCAAUAUUGUAAUAUACCACCGCUCUCGCGGUAAAAUGAAAUAUUAAACCCCUAUUUACGUAUUAUACCACGUGUGUGUGUGUAUGUGUGGGUGUGUGUGUGCACGUGUGUUUGAGUAUAUAAUCACAUUACGUACCCACAUAUUAUGCCAAAAGACAACGGAUUUCGUAUACCGUGUGCAUAAUCGAAUUCGGGCCUCCGAAAUAAUACUGUCGUCCGACGUGCGUACGGGUAUUACGAGAGAUUAUCUUUUUGCCGAAAUUCCGCUGUAAUAAUAUAAUAUCAUAUACGGAUACCUUUCUUUUACAGAUCCGGCGAUUAUCUACGAAGAUUUCGUUCAAAAUCGAUUUUGUUUUCUGUUUUCCAGUCAUAACACAGAAUCGUACGAUGCCGAUUUAUCAAUAAAAAUAUAUUUUUCAACAAUUUUCAUCGCUCCCCCUCCCCUUAUUCCGCACUACUCCAUAUAAACACAAAUCGGCUUUUGAUUUUCAAAUAUACAAUAAAUCUCUAAUUUCCAAAGAGAAAAUACUUUUCUUAAAUCUUAAAUUAAGGGGAAGGAGCUAGUUAUUUGAGAAUUAAAAACAAAUUUACUCAUUUAUUAUAGAGGUUUGAAAAUCGUUUUCUUCUCCUAUGCUUUCAUCCCGAAUUAUUUGUAGUCGGCCACCCUCGUCCUAAACUUCUACUUGACCCGAUCUUCCUAAACUGUCGUUGCAAACACCUACCGUUCUCAUAAUAUAAUUCUCAAUCGCAUCCAACCACAACCUUCGGUCUUCCUUUUCUCCUUUUUUCUCCUGCGUUUAUUUUCGAGUUCCUCUUUCUUCAUGACACGUCCGAACCGUAUCAGUCUAGUUUCUCUCAUUUUAUCUACUGCUGAGGCCACGCCCAAAACUACAUUUUACGUACUCAUCGCUUAUCCAGGAAGUUUGAAAAUAUAGCGUUAAAAUAAAAUUUAAAAAAAUCCACAAUUAUUGAAUGGGGAGGGAUAGAAAUAUGAUUUUCGUGAAACCUUUCGAGAAAAUAGCACGUGAUAAAACCAAUGAUUUCGCUACGAAACGUUUGGAAAAAUUGCCCGUCAAUAAUAUACCUAAUAUUACAUAGGUGUUGGUAUAGUGAUUCGAGACAAAAUUAUUGAAAAAAAAAAUAACCACCGCUACCGCGUAUAACCGUUUUUUUAUCGUAUUCGUGUACAAUCUCGAGUCGUCGUGCGAUUAAUUAAACGCGACCGCUUAUAACAAUAUUGUUUUAUGUAAAACCCACCGUAUAUAAUGUAUGGGUAAUACUUGAAAGCAUACACGCGCAUUAUGAUGAUAAAAAAGCGCCGGAAAAAUUUAACGAACGCGGUUGUUUAAAAGUUUUAACGGUUCAAAAGGUCUUAUACAUGUGUAGGUGUACGAGCUCCGAGCGUUUAUUGUUUUCGUGUGAGUGUGUAUACGCGAAAGUUUUUAGCUCAGCUCUCGUACACAAUGUUAAACACGUACGAUCGGUUUCGAGCGUAUAAAAUACAUAUACAAGAGUAAAUAAAUCGCUCGUUUUAUUAAUAAAAAAAAAAAAAAAACACCGCGGGAUUGGCGUGUUUUCAACAGUCGGACUGUGAAAUUAUUAUUAUAGUUUUUUUUCGAAUUUAAAAUACGCGUUUCAAAGUUUAAAAACCAUUAAAUUUCGUUCGGGAAAAAAAUCCCCGACUUUUACCGAAACGUGUUUCGUUUACUUUGUAAGUUAUAUAUUUUUAUAUACGUUUGACGUUAAAUUCAUAAGUCGGCGAUUUUCCUUCGUUUUUUUAUGUCUGUAGAUAAUUUUUCUAGACAGAUAUUUUAUGAAAACCGUAAAAAUCGCGUCAUUUCAAUACAACGAUUAACCGAACAUUACUCAGAAUCGGCUUUGGUUAUCAAUAUUUUGUUUUGUUUCCUAAAUGUUUUAAAAUAAUAAUGUUUUCGCAUAAAGCUAAUGUUUUGCAAAAAAAAUAAAACAUGAAUAGAUAAAUUAAGAGUGGAAAUAGCAGUAAAUUCGAAACACCAUAAACACGCGGUACCCUUGGGAUUGGAGGGGUGGAGGACUGCGUAUUCUGUACAUUAAUAUUCUGAAAAGCCACGGAAAUUAUCAUUUUCGAAAAUCUUAACCCCGAGGAUAAAAUAUUAUAAUAAUUUACAAUGCUUCGAAUGAAAUAUUAAUAAUUUAUUCGGAUUAUGAGUUUUCGCGAGUCCGGCCGCGGUGAUAUUGCGCGCGAAAAAUAAUAAACUCUCGCGGUUAAACAGUUUUUAAUUUCGUUUAAAUCGAAUUCACGUUUAAUGUUCGACAAUAGAGUUCAAAGGUUUCGAAUGAUUGUAUUAAUUUUUAAAAAUAUAUUAGGGCGGUCGGGACGGUUAUUUUUUUUCUUUAGAAUUCCGAUUAUUUUUUUGGUAAUUAAUGUUUUUAAAUAAAAUGUUUUUUUUUUCUUUUCAUCAAUAGUUUUUAACAGUGUGUAAACAAUUUGUUUAUAAAGAACAAUCAUAUUAAGUCAUUCACUAACAUUUUGAGAAAAUUUCGGCAGAUCUACCGAGAGAGUGAAUUGCAUUGAUUUAUCCAUGCAAUAUAUUUUGUUUAUUUCCAUGAACUUAGUACGUACAAUAUGGCUGUCGAUUUUUUGUUUGUCUUCUACUUCACUGUAUCGACUAUAUAAUAUUAUAAUAUAUUGUAGGAUAUACAUAUCUUUACAAAAAUUACGAUAUAGCUCUAUUAAUACUAUUGCUGCAAAAAUUUAUUUGGAUUGAUGGAUGGUUGGAUAUUUGUUAACCCUUUACACCAAAAUUACCGAACGAAUUGAGCUGAAGCUUUCCACAGAUGUAGAUCAGAAAUACCAUACAUAUAUUAAACCUCUAUAAUGUUAUUGGUAUUUUUGAUACGAAAAUCGAAUUAUCUUUGUUGAUUUCUGAUUUACCUUGAUGACAUAUGGAUGAAAUGUUAAAAAAAAAAAAAGAACUGUUAUUAUUAUUUUAUUCGGUUGUCGCAGACUCGAGGUGAAGUAUACUUUUAUUUAAAACGUAAAUCAUACGCUUAACCACUAUGCGGAUAAGGGCUGUGAUGGGAAUCACACGUUAAAUCGAAUUUCUUUUAUUAGUUUCUGUUUUUAAAACGAUUGACCCCGCGAGCCCGGGCUUGGCUACAGCGCAUUGUUAUUAAGUAUAUUUCGAUUUUCUAUCCGAAAUUUUUUCCGUCACAAAGUAGCGUUUAUAAUAUUACUCACUUAUAUAUACUCUUGUCAAAGGGCUUGGUCAUACGCAGUACCGCAUAAUAACGAUUUAAACUCUGGUAAUACACCACGUACUCCGCAGUAAAUCGGUCGUAUAUUCAUCGCGUAAACGAAUUUCCGUGUACUAAAACCAUAAAUCACGGAACUCAUUUACCAACACGUACGACUGUACGAUGUUUAUUAUGAUUUUGUACUUAAACAUCAAAAAGCGCGCGUACGGAUGUACGGAAUUACUCUCUUCAAACCCAGUUAUACUCAAUAAUAUACUUUUGACUUUAUAUCGUUUGUUUAUAAGUACGCUGUAUUUGUUGUAACGCGCGUGCGUAAAUACUAUAAAACAAAGUAAAGCAUAUAAUAAUAUCAAUGUAGUGAUAAAAUCAUAUGGUACAGCGUUCUGUCGUUUUCGAUUUACAUCGAAAUAUAUUUCAGAUUCCGAGGGGAACGAAGAAUACGUACUGCAGGUAUUGCACUAUGAUGUGUGAUUUUUUUUUUUUUUUUUUUUAGAUCCCGAGUACUUGUAACGAAGAAGGUAUUAGUUUUACAGAGACGUGUUUUUGUUUCUUGUCGUGUUUUUUCCUCGCCUCAAAAUAUGCGGAUGUAUCACCUGACGGUACUGCGUUGUUUAUUCGAACAAUCAAUUUUUCGAAAAUCUCAAUACUCUUUCCAACCGUCAAUUGCUUUUUGUUAAAUAUUUUUUUUUUUUUUUUAGUCAGGAAAACGCUUCAAUAAUUUGUCCAACCCUUCCCAUCGAAAAAUUGUAUGUACGUCACCGUGUAGGUAUGAUGUGAAAAUCUUUUGAGCAAAAUUUCCCGCGAGCCAACGUUCGUGUCACGACCGACGAAAUAUUGUUAUAUACGUGCGGCGCUCGUACGACAAUAAUAUAUGAGUAGGUGUACGCAAUACAAUUAAUUAGGAAAGUUUAUAAUCGAAUUAAAAAUAUUAUAAUUUACGUCAUGAUGCUCGUGGUAACCAUAUAAAAUGUUUCGCCAUGAUGAAACGAAACUUUUAUUACGACACGUGCACACACACACACACACACACACACACACACACACACUGACAAACAUUUUCGUUUCGCGCAUAAAUCAUUUUAAACAAUAAAUCGCUAUAUUGUCGUGAAAUUGGCUUGCGUUAACUUGACGGUAUUAUUGAUAUUAUUACCAAUAAAUUUCAUCAUCACUUUGGGUAUAUCCGAAUGCUGUGCGAGUCAUUACGAAUGUAACGAUGUAACUCGAUGAAGUAAAUCGGCCAAAACGUUAACGAGCUAAUUGCGAGUUUUAACGCGUUAAAAAUAAUUACAUUUUUUCCAACCAACUAUAUCGAGUACGUUUCUUUUUUCGGUUUUUCUAUAAUCGAAAAUAACGCAGAACAAACAUUUACGGGUUUGUAAGUGAACAAAUUUAAUAUUGUAAACCGAAAAAAAAGUAGAAUUUUUUAAAUUUUGAACCCUCGACUCCCCCUCUGCAUUAUACGCGCUUGCCCUGAACACAUUAUCGAGUAGACAUAAAAAAAAAAAAAAAAACAAAAAUAUGUACAAAUAAUUUGUAGGAUGUUUCAAAUAAUGCAUGUAUAUUAUACAUCCAGUCAAAUUUAACGAAUUAAAAAAGAAAUUAAAAUCGAUUCAACGUGUUAUUUAAGCGAAAUGUACUCGUUAUUUAUUCUGUUAAUAGGUACGGAACGACAUCGAAUUCAGUUAAACGAAAUAUAUCAAAGGAUAAAAAUUGAAACUAACACGACUUUUAACAUUUCAUAACUCGUCAAGCUUUGAUUUAUAAUCACUAUGUUUUUGUGUGCACAACGAAAUCUCGAAUGCGUGUACAUUGCGAAAAAUUAAAAUGCGUGCCUGCGUUUUUAUUACGGGCAAUAAUUGCGUUCAUUCCUCCACUCACGAUCAACAAAACGCCAUGAAACAAAUAGCCACCGGAUUAUAAUAUAGGUAUCCUAUUCGUCUAAUAAAACGACGACGCGCGCUCCUUACUAUACUUGAAAAAUACGAUUUUCGAUAAUUUUUUUAAUAAAGCUUAAAUUGAUUUUGGUAUUUGUUUUUUUUUUUUUUUUUUUUACAUACAUAAUUGUACCGUGCAAUUUGUUCAACUAAUUAUUUUUUCAGUCUAAAUGAUAUGCGUUUUAUUUUAACACGUAUUGUCCUGCUGAAAAUUAAAAUAUCUCAAGACACUAUACGAUAUUGUAUACUUUUUGUUUAUCAAAAAACUCAUAAGUUAUUUGGCUUAAGAUAUGUCGGAGCAAUUCGACCGUUUAGAAAUUAUGCCGCCCGUAAAAAAAAUAACGAAAUAACUAGAAAAACAAAAAUAACGUGUUUAAAGAUAUCGUUUACAAAUACGAACAAUUAUAUACGUUUACAAGUAAAAAUAUAUUACAAAUUUCUCCUCCAAUUUGAAAAAUCAUUUUAUUCGAUUAUUAUUGACCGUUUUGUUAUUUUGAUUAUUUUUGUUUUCGUUUGGUACGUAUCGAGAAUCGACGGCGCACUUAAUAUUCCGGCGCGUUUAUCAGAUAAACAAAUAUUACAUAAAAAAAAAAAUUCUUUUACGCUGUCGCCGUGGAACGUUCUCAUAAUAAAUCACAAUGGUCCCGGUGAGGUGGCAACGGCGGCGUAAAGGUGAAAACAUGUUAUUAUUACGUUGUUUUUUUUUUUUUUUUUUACUACUCAUUGUUUUACUAAAAUAAAAACUCCAAUAACGGGUAACCGGAGGCGUGGGAUGGGGGGAUAUGAUAUUAACCGCAAACGACGACAACGGUGCGGUUAAAAGAUUAAUGAACACAAACGUAGUGAUUUUUCACCCUUGUAAUCUAUAAUAAUAUAAUAAUUCGCGCCGUGGAAUAAUAAUGAAUAAAAAAAUAAACUCCGAAAACAGAAUCGCUGCGGUUAAUAAACGUUGCGUAGUAAGUGCAUAUAAUAUAUAGGAUUUUUUUCUUCGUUCAAACGCUCGAAUAAACUGUUAUUUGUCUUCAUUUUUUUGUUAUUUUCCAAUUUAAUAAUUACGACACGCAGGCGAACAGUUUACCCAUAAUUGUUUGUCACAAAAUUAUUUUCCCGAGUAAAUCGACAAAUAAUAUAUGACUUUUUAGAUUCUGAGCGAAGCGGCUAUAUUUUAUUAUUUUAGGAUGUGUAUGUGUGUGUAUGUGUGAGUGUGUGUGCUUUUAUUGUGUGUGGGUGAACGAGUUUUCUGCCAGAAAUCCAGUAGGAUUUUGGCAAAUUCUCUGCUAGGAGGUCGUUUAAUGAUUUUCCGUCUAAUUUUCUUAAUAACCAGGGAAACCCGUGAAAAACGGGAAAGUUUACGGCAUUAACAGUUUCAUUGAUUUUUUUUUUUUGUAGUUCAAUUAAAAGCAAUAGUAGAGAAUUUAAUUUUUCGCAAAAUACUAACUUUAACCUUUUCCAGAAGCGGUAAAAUAUUCUAUACAUUUUGGCGAUUUUGAGCUAUUUAUAUGCGCAACUAUACGAGUACAUUUGACAUUUCUUUAGUUUUUAUGUAGGUCACCUUAUACGGCCUUAAAAAGCUUAAAAGUUUCAAACAAGAUUCGUAUAAAUUGCGUUUAGUGGUACAAAAGUUCAAAGUUUACGGUUUAACGAGAAUUAUUGUAAAAAUCACGGAAUUUAAAAAUGCGUGACUUCUGUUAUAGUGAAGUGGCUCAGAAUCGUAUUUUGUUAGCAACAUAUUGUUGAGUACUGACAUUAAAUAACUUUAAUUCUCCUUCCAUUCCAAUUUCCCACUCACAACACUAUUAGCAUUAUUAAAUAAACAGUCAAUACGCGCGACGUGUUUCAAUUUGUCAUUAAAAGACGUGAAAGAGGUUUUUUUUCUUUAAUAAGACAAACAAGUAAAAAAAAAAAACAAAACGAACCGAACGUAUAUUGUAAUAUUUUAAAUUUCCAACUCAUUUCCAUUUAUUAUAUAUACGAAGAUAUACCCAUUGUAAUAUCUCCGGAGUUAAUAAUAAAGAUAAUAAAAUUUUGUUUUUUUUCUUCUUCUUCUAUUACUCACGGGGAUACACACUAGAAAUAUCUAUAUUGCAAUUAAUUUCUUAUGCUUCGAAAAACUAACGUUUUACUUCCAUUAAAUUCGUGAACUUUAAUCAUUUGUUAAAGUUCGGAUAAAAGAAGUGUACAGUCAAUUAAUCGUAAUAAUAACAAUAAUCAAUUAGUGAAUUCGAUUGCGGCAUGUUGCGUAAUUAUAGGUGGUUUUCUCUCUUCAUAGUUUAUCCCAGUGUGUAAUAAAGAAUAAAACAACAAAAUAAUUCGUUUAUCUUUAUUAACUCCGGAGAUGUUACAACGGGUAUAUCUUCGUGGGACACCCUGUAUAAUGUCGUAUAAUAUACUCACCAGCCCACGACAUCCAGUCCACCGCCUUCUUCCGCCCGCCGACUCCGAGCGAAAUAUAAUGUCUUUAUAUAUUCUUUUAGGACGUUAUAUAAUAUUUCCACCCUUCCGAAUCCUAUAAUAAUAUUAUACUUAUACGGUCGACUAUAGUAAUAAUAAUAAUAAUAAUAAUAUCGUCCGUUGUAAUUUCAUAGUUUUACCAAGUUAAAAACUAAACGCCAUCCGUAUAGAAAAUACAAAACUUUACCCCGGACCCUAUAUACUAAAACUUCGGUGCAGUAUUAAUCAUUUUGCAUCCGGACAAAAAAGUUUCCUUUGCGAGAUUUUUCUCGUUUCCCCUAUCUCGUGUAUAUCAUACAGUAGUAGAUACAUCAUGAAAUUGAACUACUAUUCUAUAUUAAUGUCUGUCGUCCGUUUGUCCUGUUCGCGAAUUCGCGAAAGUAUUUUUAUAUAAAUGUCAUUUGAAUAUCAUAAUAUUACUGUCACCUUAAAGAGGCAUUUUCGUUCUGCACAGCCGGUUGAUGCACAAAUGCAAUUUGUUUUACAGUAUCAUUAGUUUAGGGGCGAAAAGUAUUGUAUUAUUUUUGAAGCUUAGUUACUCGUCCGAUACCCAUUUCAGUAAAUUUAGGAGUUGUGUCUUUGAUCCUUCACGAUCAACUGUUUUACAAUAUAUUUCAGUCUUUUUGAUCUUCACACGCGGUUUGUCCUUUCAACGUCCACCUCUACAGUCGAUUUCAACAGAUCUUCGUGUAUAAUUAAUUAUAUGGCCAACCCACUCAAUUUGUUUCCUCAUCAAACUUUUUCAAAUUAAGAUUUUUUUUUUUACGAUACUUCAUUUAGUAUUUUUUCACAUCAUUAUUACCGUUUAUCACAACACUUUAUUCGAUCUAAAAAUUUAAUUUGUUUGUGUAACCGAUUACUUAUUUUGAGUACCGCGAUAAAGUGGACAGAUUCUUAAAUACACGAACAAACAUACUUACAUAAAAAAAAAAAUCCCCCGAAGUCUCACUAGACAUUUUAAACAUUUUAACACAUUUUAUCAUAAUAUUAAAAUAUCCUUUGUUUUAAAUCAAUGGCGUCUGCGUUUUAUUGAUUGUUAUUUAUUUUUCCUCGGCAGUAUAGAAUGGCGCGUGGGUAGCUUAAGCGAAGUGUAAACAUCGAGUUAAACAUUUUACUCGGAACGAUUGCGCAAAGAAAAAAUUUUAAAAUGUAUUAAAACGGUUUUUAAGCGUACAAAACCCCAAAAAAAAUGAAAUAACAAUACUUAAUGGCACUAAGAAAAAUGAUAAAAAAUAGAUUUAAAUAUUUUAGUGAAAUUGUAAAAUAACUUCUUAUAUUUGUUUGCACUCUUGACCGUAAAACAUUUUGUUAUAUGGUAUAUUGAAAUGUAAUGUUUUUACGGGGGCGUUUUGUUUAGUAAACGCAAAGAGCUGAAUCCCACCGAAGUGAUGAAAUAUAGUGACUCAACGGCUGUAUUAUUUGAUAUAGCUUUCCGAAAUUCGAUACAGGAUAAGACGUCAAAAACAUCUGAGGUGCCGUUGAGAACGAUGGAAAUUAAUUUGAUGUCGGCUUUGGGACGGCCGGACGGCGUACGUUUAAUCUGAAUUCGAUAAUAAGCAAUCGCGUGAUGAGAAUUUACUAUUUUCAAGGAUAUACGAAAGAAGCGGACCCGUAGUCGAAAAGGCUUAUUAUAGUUCUGCAAGAACUUAUAAUAUUUUGCAGGACACGUUCUAAUUUAAUUUCGAUUUAUGAUUAGCUUUAGACGAGGAAGGCGAAUAAUUAUAAUUGCACCGUAUUAUCGAAUGUAGAGAUGACAUUGACGCAAAAUAAAGUGUGCGCAUAGGCAUUCAAAGGUGCCGUAGGCGACUUCGUGUUAUACGCUCAAUAAAACCAAGGAUUUUGAGAAUAGUUUGUAUUAACACACCAGUGUAUGUAAGUAUGUAAAAGUUUCAAUUUAGAAAUUUCACAGACUCACGUCAGUGUACGGCGUGUACAUAUACGUAACGUCGUCGGGUAUCCGUUUUGAAAAUAUUAUUGGUCAACUAUAUGAGCACGAUAGCAAACCCUACUCGCGUUACACCGAGUGACGGCCCGGGUCGUAUUUCCCACGAUGACAUUGCGGGGCAGCUAUACAGUACAAUAUAUAUAAGGACGCGUAUCAAAUUUUCCCGGAUCGAUUUAAUAUUCAAAACGUGUCACUCUUGCGUAUACGACACUUGUUUAUUUUUGUAUUAACGCCGCCGAACAUUUUGGCCGUAUAGGAAAGCGCAGGAAAAACAGACAUACGUACAAGAGUUUGCUGCGAAGUUGUUGCGAAGGAAAAGAAAUAACCGCGUGCAUUCUCCGCGAAUGUUCCUGCAGCAGAAACUUGUCAAUUAAACCCCUCGCCCUCUACACUUAAAUCCGCACACACACACACACACAUACACACGCACAUUUCAGUAAGUUUUCUACGUUAGAAAAUGCACGCGUCCAAUGCUUUUUAGAUGUAUACAAAUCUUAUAUGUAUAUAAUGUAUACGAAUAGGAUUGAAUAAAAAAAAUUUUCUUUUUUCUUCUCCCCCCCUUCCUUCUAUCGGUCGUACGCUUACUUCUAUUCUCUCGUCAUAUCUCCUUUGGGGUAACUCUUUGUUGAAAAAGCACUUUGGCUAGUUUGAAUAUUAAAUUCCGUACGUAUACAUACAUUCCGUCCCUACCUAACCGGGGCCGCACAGGAUAUCGCGCGUAGGGGAUAGAACUGAUAGAAUAAACCCGGCGAAUAACUUAUAAUAUUACUGCACGCACGCGUAAAAAUAUUUUCAAUAGCCUCUGAAAAAUAACAAACGCGGUUAGUUUAGCGCGUAAGUUUUUGUAUUGCUCUUAUAUAAAAUUCGAUCGGGCGCAAAAGAAAAAAAAAAAUGAGAGCUGAUACUGGGAAUGGGAGCGGCCACUGUUGUAGGUUAGAAGUUAGGAAGGUAGGAUACAUAAGGUUAUUUUAUUUAUAUCCGUAAGCAAUGAUAAACCAUUGCUUGGUGAAAGACGAUUUCAAGCGCAGUUCGGUAAUAUACAGUUUGAAGUACGAAUAUAAAGAUUUUGGAAGUUCAAUAUAAGUAUUAUUACGAAGUUUCAUGUAUCUACGUGUAUCUAUAAACGAAUUAUAGCAAAAAAACUACCAAAAAUUAAAAUUCCUUAAAAGUUCGAAAUUGUCUCAAAAGUUUUGGUGAUAAUACCGUGAGAAAUUAAAUUAAAAAGGCAACAAAAAAGGUGUCUUGUGAUUUUUCAAUUAAAUCAUUUUUUCUGGUAGAAACGUCGUCCGUGUUUUUAUAAAAUAAUGAAAUCGUGAAAUUGUACAUUUUUCUACGUUUUUAUUUAAAAAACGAUGUCAGAAAUCAAAAAAUGACCCCUUUAAAGUACAAUGUAAAUAAUUUAAGCUUUCAGAAAAGUUGCUAUACGUAAAAAUUUGAGCAAGUUUACUUGAAAAAAACGUGUCUACAGACUAAAAUAAAAAAAAGAAAUAAACAUCUUAGUAAAACCAAUAGUUCCCUCGCUACGCUCGGAAUCUAAUACGAAAACGGAACGAUGACGAUAAAUCAAAGCAAAUACAUUUUUCAAACAUGUCUGCUCAAUGUUAUAAAACAGUAGCGGUUGACGAGCUGUCCCGGCGAAUCAGUCCGAAAAAAAAUAAAUAAAAGACAACAUUCCAAUACUAUCUUUAUAUACCGUCAUCAUCUUGUAUACGCCGUAAGUACGUUAUUCCCCUCUCUCCGUUGCUCAUAACGAUUUAAUCUCGGCUGUGAUUUCGUCGCAUUUAAAAGGGAUUACGGCGGUGCGAGUAAAACGCGAGAAAAUAAUAAUAUUAUCAUUAAACAUUACGCCAACAGCUUUAUAAAUAAACCAUCUCAAUAAUAAGCCGUUAAAGAUAAGUGAUAACGCGCGUGUGAGAUAACACGUGUGAGCUGCAGUGCUAUGGCGUUUCGAACUUGGCGAAUUCCGCAGUAUCAUUGCUCGCACAAUUCACAUUCGCACGCGUCGGCGUAAAUUUAAAUUGUGUUCUACAACGUCCGAACGGUUUUCACGACCUCUCUACGUGUUGUACGAGGAAUUAAAAAACAAUAACGAAUAUAUUAUAAUUGAAUACUGCCGAGAGGUUACAAUAAUAUUGUCUUAUGCCGCGGUAUGCUUUUAGAAUAAGGUUCUUUUUCGUCGGGCACACGCGAUGCAUUUGGUCAUAAUAAACAUCAACCAGAUCUCUGGCCUCUCGAUGUUUGUACAUUCAAUCUUAUCUUCCUUAUAUUAUACGUGGUAUUUUCUUCCUGCCUCAUAGGCGAUUUACACGUUUUUUUUUUUUUUGUUUUUUUUUACAUUAAUAAGCUGUAUGCAAUUGAGUAAUAUAAACACUUUUUUCACACUGAUUAGACCGAAAUAUAUAUCUACUUUUUCGUAGCCAAAUAAACUGUUUAGUGAAAAAAAGCAUUGCAAAAUUCGUAAUUGGUUAAGGUAUGAUUGGGACAGACAAAUACGGUCAAAAUCUUACGCUACUUAAAAAACGGUUUAAAGCGCUCGCGAAAAAAAUCACUUUAUGACACACUAGUAUCUGAGUUACUGUCAAUCAAUUCGAUUUAAUUUUUAAGCCAAAAAAAAAAUUGUACGUAUAAAGUCCGACGAUAGACGUAUUAAUUCUUCCGACGGGCAUUUAUCGCGUCUCGGGUGCCUUUCCGUCCCGGUGCUGUCCGGAGUUUAUGGGUUUAUACGGUUCUAUUUAGUAAUACGCGAUGAGUUAUCGAAAUAUUAUUUGUCGAGUAUACACACCGAUUGACGACGGAGAUCGAUAUAAUAUUCUUAUAUAAAAUGAAGCAAAAAUAUAUUAAAUAAAAAGGUUUUUCGGCGGGAUAUACGCCGCUGCGGCGGUUUAUACUCUAAAAAAAUUUACAGAACAAUUAAAGAACGCCAAGAAAAAGUUUUACGAUUACAGUUUCUUUUAUUUUUAUUAUUAUUAUUAUUAUUAUUUUUUUUUUUUUUUUUAAUAACCGCAAAAGCUCCGGUUCAGCAUAAUUAAAAGUAUAGGAGGGAAAAAACGAACGAACGGAGACCGAAAUAUGUUUAUUAACCAUAGAAGGGGUUCUUCGCAGCUCGUUUUUUAAUCCCCAUAAGCCGCGCAUACCUAAUGGGUUUCUUUUCAUCGGUUUCAAUUUUGUAUUACUAUUAUUAUUAUUAUUCAAACCUUCAUUUGGGCAAAAAGCAGCAAUCGACCGGAUACGGAGACUAUUAUUUCAGCGGUGCGCCGAGCAGAAGGCGCCCGGCAACGGAACGAUAAUAUUAUACUAUAACUGUUUUUAAUAUAAAUAUACUACACUCGCGGACGAAAAUGAAAACGGUAGAGAGAGGAGGGAGGAGAGAGAAACCACCGAAGGAAAAAAACUUACUUAAAUAAUAACUGCAGAGAGCGCAAUAACCGGAGAGCAAAUAUUUGGCCGGAUUUUGUUAGUAUUUUUAACGAUAUAAUAUCUGGAAUAUUGGACGACGACGGCGAAAAGAAAAAAUAGACGUCCGCGUUUGUCUACGUAGCGAAAUUCACAUAUACGAUAUCGGAACGUUUUUAUUUUUUCCCGUCGUCUCUUUUAUUAUAUAUAUAUAUAUAAUAUAGGUGUGUGUAGUACAUCGUUAGUUACGCGAGAGAGUUUAAAAAAAAACCCUCACGUCAUUGUUGACUUUUGUCAUAUACAUUUAAUACUACGUGUAUAUAUAUAAGAAACUUUCGUCCGCAUACCUAUAGAGAGGAUGAGUUAUGACACGGCCGACCGUUCAACCGUUCGUUAAUUUCUUUAGGGGAGAAUCGUAUAUAGGAGACACUUUUUCCCUCCACCCGAUCGAGGUGAAAAAAAAAUAUAAGCCAGUGGAUUCACGAAAGAGGAAAAUGACGAGACUAGAUUUCGAGUGAGUGUAUAUAUCUAUAAUAUACGAGUAUACAGUGCGCAGGGUUCAGGGCUAAUGGCAAAUCGAUGAUUUUCGCCGACGACGAGAGAAAAAUACCGUCGUCCGAUAAUAAUUUCUCCAGUACCCCCGAUAUACCAUCAUCAUCAUCCGUCCGUGUGUCCUUUAUUUUUCUUUCGCCGCGGCACGUCGUUAAUACGAUCCGAUAAAAUAAAAUAAAAAAAAAAAAAACUCAAAAAAGUAUAUUGUAGCCGUAUACGUAUAUUGUAUACUCUACUAUAUUUUUUAAUAACUUUCAUCGAUCGUUCGCAACAGCAGCAGCAGCAGUCUAUGUUGCAAAUCCCGCGAAAAACCGAAUUGAAAUUAUUUUUAAUAGGCUAUUUUUUAUCAGCGCGGUUGGCGGUCGGGGAAAAAAAUAACCGCGCGUUCUUCAAAGUCCACAUUAUCGAUUUUUAUAAUAAUUUAAUUUUAAUUUUUUUUUUUUUUAUAAUACUAUUGUACUAUACAAACGAGAAAUACUGUUUUCUUUCUUUCUAUUUAUUGUUGUAUGCAUAUGGAAUCAUUUAUCGUUUAUUUUCACUCUUGGUGUGUUAUAUUAUAGUUUGUUAUUCCUAAUUUGUAUUUUCUUAGAAUAAAAAUAAUCGUUUUUAAAAGACCGUACAAAAUAAACAACGCCGUCGAACGUAACCCCCUUAGACCAAAUAAAAUGAAUUGUCAAAGAUUUUUUUUUUUUUUUUUACGAAUGAACUGAAUACCGUUUAUAUUUUAAACAUAUUUCAAGUGAAGCAUAAUAUUAUACAUUGUGUAAUUCAAAUGACUAAUAUAAACUGCAGAUAUCUGACGGAAAGACAUUAAGGAGCAGAGAAACUGAAGAGUCCGAAAAAAUAAAGAAUUAUAUAGAACACCAUUGUCUGAGAGCUAACGUAUCGUAUACGAAUUGUGUUUAAAAGACGAUUACUACAAUGGUCAGACAAAUGGUGGUUCGAGGAGGUCUAAAGAAGGAUAGCUGAAAAAGUCGGUUCGAUUCGGAGAUCCUGAAGGUGAAAUGUCUAUUAGGACAUCAUCUGCGUGCGCAAGACUAGAUGAGCUGAUAUGAAGUAAAGAUAAAAGAGCAAGGGAUGCAUUAAAGACACAUAUGGAGAUCGUUGGCAUGCAUUUUUAUUGUGAGUAUAUAUGAUCUUUAAGGCCGUAAAAAAAAAAAUAACGAAAAUAAGAUGAUAAAUAUUUCAUACAAGUAUGUAUGAAGUAUAUAAGUAUACAAGUAUACAAGUAUAUAAUAUUGUUAGUUGGGCGCGCAAUAUACAACGGAAAUCCCAUCGAAAACCAGUCUCCAAUAGCCUCUUCUUUUUUACGACUUUGAAAUAUUCGUUUACCGCAGAAGCCCACUAAGUAUCGUCGUAUAAAAUAAUGUGUUUUUUUAUUUUAUUAUUAUUGAUUAUCUCAAUCAUCUCAUCUCUAUACUCAGAGGGAUACUGAAAUUAGCGAUUCAUUUAAAAUGCGAUUUUUCUUUUCCAUACACAAAUAUACUCAGUCUUAUCGAAAUUACUUAUUUUUAAUUAUGUCUACUUUAAUAUUGUUCGAAUAAUUAUAAGAAACAAGACACUAUAUAUAUAUAUAUAUAUAAUUACAGAAACCCGCCAUACGUACAAAAUAUGCUAUAGUGUUGAAACGGUACCGGUGUCUGUAAGAAUGAGUAGUCGAGUAUUUUUAAUAAUUUUCGGAAGUUCAAAGAAAACUGCAGUAAUGAUUAUUGAUUAUUUCAAGUAAUGAAAAGGCGGUCGUAGGACCUCCCGAUGAAAGCAAUUCGUUUCGUUGUUCGUACCAACAAAAUUAAACGAUAUUGUUUUUUCUAAACAUUUGAAGGAGUUACGUAUACACGGUGAAACCAAUGCGUUGUACGAACAUCUAGUAAAUGUUACAUGUCUAUCAAAACGGAAUCGUCGUGAUCAGUUGCGAGCUCGAAGUACGCGGAUUCGGCCGUGGACUUUAAUGCCCGGCUUUACCACUCUGUAAUACUCAUGUUUUCGAUAAUUGCGCGCGGAAACCCACCGCCGUCAACGACAGACUAUUAUUAUAAUGAUAAUAAUAACAUAUAAACUCGCGUGCAAACGAGACUCGACACUUGUUUUUUUAUUUCCAUAUUUCCGGUUUUUUUUUUUGGUUUUUUUUUGUUGAUAACGAGCUGUCGUUUUCAGUCGUUUCCGCGAAUUCGUCAAUAUCGGUACCUCUCGGCGGUAUUUAGCCAAAAAUACAAGUAAAAAAAAAAAUCCCCCUUAACUAUAGUCUGUGUCUUGCUGCAGGGGUAGUGGAGCUCGAAAACCUCCCCGAAAAUAAUAAUAAAAAGAAACCCAAGCAAAACGAGUACACUCUUUGAAAAAAGGUAAUAGCAGCGGUCGUGUCGUAUCGUACGGAAGGAGCCAUGUUUGAGUUAUGUGACACACACGACGCACACGCGAACCGAAUACUCUUUCUCUCUAUCUGUGCGCAUAAAACUGUCGAUGGAAAUAGUGAUAAUAAAAUAAAAGAAGAAGUAUAGAGAAAAAAAAAAUACUUAAGAGCUCGAACAGACAACAUAUAAUAUUUAUAAGUGUCGAAUAUUGCUGCGGGCACGGGGUUAAAAGCGAGAGGGGGAAAAAAGGUUUUCGGAGAUGUUUUUUAUACAUAUAUAUAUUUGUAUACAUAUUUUAUUAUUAUUUUUUUUUUUUAUGAAAACCUUCGCGCGCAUAAACCAAGAAAAAACAAACACACACAUCGGGAGGGGGGGGAGAAAUGCACCCUGUUCGAGUAUAAUAUAAUAUAACGCACCCCUGCCCGGGAGAUUGUUUUUUAUUAAAAAAAAAAACCAAAACAAAACAGAAUAAUAACAAAAAAAAAUGUCGAGGUUGUGUUUCCGUUUUCUAGGGUUUUGUCGGACCAAUCUGAAAAGGUCCCUGCGGCGACGACGAGUUAUUAUUCUUCUUUUAUUCGUGACAUUAUUGAAAUUUAAAUAAAUAUCGUCUUAAACGCGCGCGCGCGUGUGUGUGUGUGUGUGUGUGUGUGCGAUAUUAUAAUAAUAUUACGUGUUUACUCGAUACCGCAACGUAAUGUCGAACACGUGCGCAGUAUCCGGUUCGCCUAAAAUCGACCGCCGCGGUGUUAUAUUAUCGUUCGACACGGCAUUCGGAUAUAUGACAAUAACACACACCGAUUCGAUUGUAUGCGUGUUUUUAUUAUCAUUAUUAUUUUUAAUAUUAUUUUACAUGGGUAAAGAAGAGAAAAGGAUAGAAAAAAAAAAAAAACAGAAAAAGAGAUACUCACCUAAAGCGUUUCGAUUACGGAACGAUGCGCGGCGGUGAUAAUACGACACGGUUCGGACGGGCCGGGCGGCGGACAGAGAAUAUUUUAUUUUGUACAUAAAACGCGGCCGACGUAUAAAAUCAAUCGCGUGCAUUAUUUAAUGCGAAAUGAAAAAUAAAAAAUAAAAAUGAAUAAACUCGGCCCCGCCGCACCGAAAGAACCUUUGACAUGUAAAACGUGACUUUGAAUCGCGUUCUGGCGGUAUAUAGUUUUUUUUUUUUUUAUUGUCGAUAGAUAAAAACGCGUUUUAAAUUAUCGUUAUUACAUUGUGUUUUCUCGACACAGUAUAUUGUUAUAUUCCACGCGAGUACCCGUCGACGUUUUCCUAUCCGUUUUGGUCUGUUGAAAUAUAUUCGGCGGCUAAAUUGCACGUGAGAAAAUACACACGUAAUAAUGUGUAGGAUGAUUUAGUUUGUAUAAUUUGCUCGUGUACUGUAAUUAAAACGUACGACAGCGGAGACAGUGGUUGAUGGAGACUGGAAUCGACAAGGAAAAAACGACGGGUACGCUCGGAGGACGGAGGAUCGGACGGAUAGGUCUCGCGACGCCUUACACCCGCGAGGAGAGGGAAGGGCGCCACUCGUCCACUGGCCGUAUAAUGUGACGAUAAAUUCUGAGCGGUGAUUUCGUGUUUUUAUUUUGAUAGAUAAUUUGAUAACGAUAAUAAACGCGUUUCGUGUAACGGUAAAACGAUUGUCAAAUAACACGACAUUGGGUUAUUGUAUACUUUACGAGACAAAUAUUACGUUAUGACAGCUCCCGCAACACAUUCGGCCGUGAUAGUUUUGAUUUAUUAUUUUCGAAAUAAAAAAAAAACAAACAUCGCAAUCGUUUUUAUAUCGUCAACGCGAUAUUAUAAUAUUUUUUAUUAUCGUCGCAGACGUCUACGUGUAAAACGUAUUACGCGUUUAAUAAUAUUGUAUUCUUAUGGGAGGUACAAUAAUAAUAGUAAAAUACAUUUGGAAAUCCGGACCUAUUGUCCAGAAAUUAUGUUAUUUGAAUGAUAAAAGACGAAACGACAAAAAAAAUAAUAAUAAUAAUAACGAAAAUGCAGCAAGUACAUAAAUAAUCCAUUACCGACAUUAACAAGUCGAACCUUCGUGCUGAGCGUAUUAUAACGCGACAUACGUGUAAGUGAAAAGGUCUUCGGCGCGGUCAUAUCCGCGAACGUUUCGACGUUUGAAUGUUACAACGUUAUUUUCGAAAACCGGAGAUCGUUGAGUGUUCGGGCGUUUUAGAUUCUGAGUGCUACGAAAAUAUGUAUAUUGGACUUUAUACUGAUAAGCGUGCUGUUUUGUUUUUUACAUUUUUUUCUGUCUUUAAUCGACUUUUCUACCAGUGAUCCCGCUCCGGAUUUCGGAUUCAGCAUCUUUUCCCCGCGAAACGUAUUGUCUAGCAUUCUAGUCCGUGCUUUGGAAGGCCGGUUUUUGAUUCUUCUUUUUUUUUUUUUUUUUUUUGGUAGUUUUCUUAUUUAUGUUUAUACAUUUUUAUCAGUUUUAGUCAUGUACGAUUAUACGGUGUAUCGAACAGAGUAUAUUAUUACAUUGAAUCCCGAGUGUCCCAGCCAAAUUUUUGGCGUUCAGUCGGGUCCAGUGUAUUCUCUGUCACGGUAUUAGGAUUUGUUGUAAAUCGUGCCUAUCAGUAAACAUAUAAAGGUCGACGGGGUAAUGCGGAGUAGUUGUUUUUUUUUUUUUUUUUUUUUUUUUUUUUUUGAAAUUUCGACGAAAAUCAUGGAGUUUCGAAACGUGUAAUUCGUAUCGCGUUUUAAAUCGAACUCCGCUCGGAAUUCACGAACCGAAUCUGCGCCCCGGUAACAUAAUACAGUAGUACGUGUUGUGAAAAUUCUGUGCGAACCCACGAAACGUACCGAUACGUUCAGUGUAAUCGACGGCAGUAUAGAAAAACCCGCACGCAUUUCGCACCUAAUGGAUUUUCGUCGCGCGAAAACGAAACUCGGAUCGGCAAGGCGCGCUCGACACUCGCGUUAUAAAUAAUUCGUAUUAAUAAAUAGACCGGCAGUCAGGGAGGAAGAUUUUUUUACCGGUUUUUUUUUUUUUUUUUUUUUUUUUUUUUUUUUUUACGACUGCGGGAACGGGUAAAACGAUAUUAUGCGGCGGCGAAAGAGUAAUAGAUAUAGGUACACGUUUCCCCUCUGUCCCCUCGCCACCUCGUCACACAGACGGCGGCUCGUCAAAAAGGUGCCGCCGUUUCCGAUCAACGAGAUUUAUAUAUUAUUAUCGUAUUAUUAUUAUUAUUAUUAUUAUUAUCAUUGUCGUUAUAUUUAUUACCGUCGCGUCGCAUGCGGUGGCGGCACUUAUUUUUUCGUAUAUACACACCGAUUUGAUGAUUGUCUGCGGGCCACGUGUUCGGCCCGCGUGCGUGUGCAUGUGUAUGUGUGCGUGUGUACGCGCGUAUACACAGCACCGAGUAUAUAUAAUAUGGUUUCGGAGGAAGGAAAGAGAGAAAAAAAAAAUGGAAAAAAAAUCUUUAACGAGACUGCCGGUAAUCAAUCAACGCAACGACAAGACGCGUAUAAACGUAUAUACAUAUACGAUAUAUGUGAACAUAUAUGCGCUAUCGAGGUUGACAUAUUAUAUUUUGUAUACAGGGUGGUUUUAUUAUUAUUGUCAUUAUUGUCAUCCGUGAUUCAGUAACGAUCGCGUCCGCCGAAAAUAUCGAGUAAAACAGAUUUCCAUCUGUUGUUUUAUUGAAUCGCACACUCACUCAAUAAUUUCAACAUUUCGCCAUGGUAUACUCGCGGUACGUAGGCACGGUGCAUGGUACGGAAACCGAAUUCGGGCAGGGAUAUCGGAAUUUAUCCAUAGGCCACUCGAAAUUCACCGUCCCCCCAACCAAAUACCGAUACAUUGUUCUAUAUAGCUACGUUUGUAUUCGUCAUUCGGAGCCUACGAACUAUAUAAAAAGUAAAAUUAGUUUUUACAAUUAAACUCGAUGUUUACAACUCUAAUUUGUUGGGCCAGCUUCGCUACAGAAUCUGUUGAUAUAAACGACUUAAAUUCAUAGAAAUAACAAACAAAUCAAUCAAUCUGUGUAAUUUUAAAACUGUUAACUAGACAAUAGUCCAGGCCAUCCGGAAAAUCCCCACGUUCAGACCUGCCACUCUCCCCCCGACCUUAAACACAAUAUAUCGAUUUUCAACGCGCAUUCGAAAGAGAAUAUGCAUAUUUGUCUAAACAUUUUGAUAUGCUCAACCCUGUAUGAUAUGCAUGAUUCAUGAGCUAUAACAAAUUAGGAUUUAGUCCGCGGUGGAGUAUAGGAGAUUUAUCAAUAUGAGUCAAUACGGUUUUAUUCGUUUAUUCAUGCAUUUAUCAAUAUCAUCUCAACUGAUAUGCAAUUUAUUAGCCGAGUAUUUAAUUACAACUAGAUAUAUAGAAUUAACUUUAGAAUUGUUCAUGAUAUGAUCGACAUUUUCGAAAAUCAACAUGCACUAUACUGUUGGAACAAAGCAAUUAUACAAUCCCAUAAAACAACGAUUGAGUAUAAAAAUUGGAAAUCGAAUUUAUUUCGAAUUCUUCGAGAAACGAUCGACGGAUUGAGAUAAAAAAAAAUAUAUAUAUAUCAUCGUCCUGUAUGUAACAUUAUUAUCCGGAGUCGGCGACAGCGUUUUCGUCUAUCGAGUUCGGAAUUUUUUUCAUUUCUUCUCGUCUUCUCGGUCCUUUUAUCUUUACCGGUCGUCGAAGCGUGCACCGUACCGGAGUACGUUCGUCGCUCCUACGUUCGCUCCUCGUCGCUCCUCGUACGUUGGCUGUCGGACCCUCUCUGCCGAGAAAAACCUACCGAAAAACAUCCUGAAAAAAUUUAACGUAAUAUUUGCGGCUAUCGCCUAAAAAUAUGCUCGACAGUAUCAAUCCUAUAAUACACUUCUACGGGACCGUCUCUCGUCAAAAAUGUCCACGUCGCUCUCAACGAAAUUUCUUCUCGGCCUACGUCGCUUCGUCAGCCGCGUUACUUUGGAAAUCCGUUAGCGCUCGUCCGAUACGUUCGGAACAAUAAUCGAACAGUAAUUACACAUUUUAACGUUAAAAAUAAACGCGCAUUAUGACGAAAUAAAAACGUGUUUCUGAAGCGCGCUGCUAAAAUAUUACGCGCGCGAGCGUGACGGGAAAAUGGCGAUCAAAAUUUUCCGGUGAUCUUUUCCAGACACGACAAACCGUCGGAAAACGAAUAAUCGUACGAAUAUUUUAAAUUUUUAUAUAUAUAUAUAUGUGUAUACAUGCACGUAUUUUCGUUUCCUAAUAAUUGAAAUUCGUGACAGUGAAUAUUUUAUCGCCGAACUAAAAAAUACAAAAAAAAAACCAGCAUACUUCGCGAUUUGUUAAUAGAAAAUUAUUACUCAUACGCGUAGAACUAUAAAUACGUACAUAAUUUAUUCAUACCGCAGUUCGUCCCCGCGACCGGGCGGCAAACUUUCCCUAUACUCGGCUCUCGUUAAUAUUCAAUAAGUUCCGGGAAAUUGUACUUUUGAUUUGCAGACGACGACGUCGAAAACGGUACCGACCGAACGACCAAAUAUUACCGUAUAAGUAUUUACGACGAGGCUAAUAAUAAUGAAGUAGCUGUAUAAAAUAUAAGGUAGUCGGAGUAGCGAUUCGAGUUUUAUACGCACCGACCAUAAUGAACAUCGCGGAGUUGCGAUGUGUCAUAACGAAAUAAAACGUAAACGGUUUGUGAAAAACCGUGACGUCAGUCAUUCAGAGCCAACCGAACUGGCGAGUGGGUAGGGCUGAAAUCGCGAUGAGAAGUAGGUAUUUUUGAGGUAUUGGUUUUUGAACAUCGCAUCAAUUAUGAUAUUUUACUCAUUUCGAGACAAUAAUUUUAGAUUUCGGAAUCCGGAUUUGUCCUGUCACUUGCAGUAUAUCUUUUCAAAGUGUAAAACCGUAAUUUUGUCAAAUAUAAUCAAAAGGAAAAAAAAAUAGAAAUACAAAACGCAUUUUUCGUCGAAAAAUCGGUUUGAAAAUAAUAUUCAGUUAUAAUGUAUAGCCGAGUGAGAUUCGGUUUUUUGAAUAUUAUAUGUACAAAUCACACGCGUCGUUGUCGUCGCUUUGAUGUCGUCGUUGUCACUUUGAUGCGGUCGGAAGAUAGACAACGGGCUUGACGCGUUCGUUCGUUUACAGCUAUAACCAUUACUAAUUUGUGUGUUUACGUAUACGUAUAUGGCUAAAGUUGUUAAAACGACAGUGACGACGCCGAUUUGUAUAAAUCCGAAUAUUUUUAUUGCGACUAAAUAAAAUUGUUAUUGUAGUUCGACUUCUUUCUGCGCGUUUUACAUUUUACGACACGCGCACAAUGUCGCGUUUGAAAAAAAAAAUAAACUCCACUUCUUACUUUAUGACAUUUGUUUGAUUUUUUCAUAGCGGGUUUACUGUAAUUCGUAAGGACGUAGUGUGUCUCUUGAUUUUGAAUUUUCGGUAUGCUUAAUAAAGAUCCGAAUUCCCUUUUAAAUGUCACUGUGCCAGUGACGUUAGUCAUCAUCAUUUUUUAACAAAACCGAGAAAAAAUGUAUAGAGUAGGUACUUUUAUAUAAUCGAAUUUAUAAAUGUACGCAGCGAUAAAAUGAUUCCGAAUAAAGUUUGGUUUAACGUGUUCUGAAAUUUUACGAUUUGUGCGAUUUUCAUAAAAAUUAAAUCCUUAUGAAAAAUUAACUAAACUACGCUUAUUUUUUUUUUUUUUUUUUUUUUUGAGUCUAUGUCUAAGCCAUUUAAAACGCCAUAUUUAUAGGGCAUUUCUGUUCGACCACAAUAAUAUCUUUUGCAAAAAACCAAAUAAAAACUUAAAAAAAUACAUCUUAACCAUUCGUUUACACUAAUAAUCUCCGAUAAAGUCGUAGGAAAUACCACUGUGCAGAACAGAAGGGAUCAAAGUCCUUUCAAGUCAAUUUUUGGGAUUAUUUUUUUAUAAUUUUGUCUUGCGUAUUUUUUUGUUUUUUUUUGUUUUUGAGUCUAUGUCUAAGCCAUUUAAAACGCCAUAUUUAUAGGUUAGACCAUUUAACAAUAUCAUGCCGUUAUGUUAUUAAGCUAUUUUCAGAAUUUAAUGCAUUUCCAUUGAAAACUAUACAAAUUUGACUCGAGCGACCUGAGCUUUCUUUCCCUGGAACCAAAGAAAUCGUUAUUUUAUGUUUACUUGGUUUUUCUUUUUUUUUUUUAGAAAUAUCAUGCUUAAAAAAACAUAUUAUAUUGUUCCACGACUAAUAGUAACUUUUUAUCGAGUUAUUUAAAUCGAUCCCACGGAAUUUCGGUUAACGUUAUGCUCGGUAAAUCUUUUGGAAAUUAAAAAAAGAAUAAAAACAAAAAUGAUACUGUGAAAGACGCGCAGGAAGACAUUGUAUUAAGUCAUCAUUGUUUUAGACUUUGUUUUAUUAAUAUAUCGUUUUUUAUUGUUCCUAACGGUAAUAAAUCAGUACGGUUACAGUAGCGUAUUAUGAUAUUAGUACGCAUGAUGAUAAUAAUAUUGUAUUACAAUAUAAUAUAGUGCGUAAUAAUAUACGGGAGUAAAAACAUAAAUCUCAUCUCGUUAUCCAGCAUAUAGGCGUAUAGCAAUACUAUUAAGAUAAUAAUAUGUAUGAGAACCAAAGCAUAAUAAUAAUCGACUGAUAAUGAUUAUUGGAUUCUCCGAGCAGGUAUACGUAAACUAUACUACUCCAGAUUAAUCAAUCGGACGUUCGUUGUAAUAUUUUUAAUAUCGAAUAAAUAACGAAAAACCGGAGAUAGUUCACACCGCGGGUCGGUGCCGACACUGCCGUCGGUGGGAAAUUUCGAUAAACUACCGACGUUCUAACAUUGAUUUAUAAAUGAUAUUGAUUUCUACUAUACGAUGUGUGUUUUGCCGCGCGCGUGUAUCCGCAAAUAACUUCUCUAUACUAGAAAUAUCGCUCCAAAUCUCCAAUCGAAAACUUUAAAGGAGCUUUUUUUUUUUUUUUAUGUAGUAUUUUCGGUCUAGUCUGUGCAUUUAGGAAGUAGUCGUAUUUGAUUUUCCUUGUAGUUUUCUUUGUAAAAGAGGGGAGGAGAGUAAAACAGCAAUUUGUCUUCGAUCUUUGUUCAUAUCUGGGUUACUUUGGCAACAAUGGAAAAAUUACGACUAAUAAUACUCGGCUCGGAAUCGGUUUUCGUUACCUACGGUUUGUCGUUGUGUACAGCUAAAAAUUAAAUUACCUCUAUAUUAAUUCCGCCCUCACGACUUGCCGCCUCGUAACGGCGGUACGCCCAUCAGAGAUAUCCGCUUUCCUCCUCCCCCCCUUGUAGCUAUUAAAAUAGUUAGUCCUGCAGAAAUCGACCGAAAGAAAACACCGAAGGGUCGCAAUAUUUGUUUUAAUAUUUUCGAAAAACCGUUUUCGAGUUUAGAAAUAUUGAUGAUUUCGAAUAAAGUGCCGUCCAACAGAAAUUCCGCGUUUUUCGGGUACGAAAAAUAAAAAACGCUCAGAAUCUGGGAACUAAUAAUAGGACAGACAUUUUUCAAACACAUAUAUUUGCACAUUUUUCUAACGGUAUUUGUUUUAUUUUUUUGUUGCAGGUAAUUUUGGAUAAUCAAGAACGGCAUGCAGCGCGUAUUCAUUCGUACAAUAACCUCGCCGCGACCAGCCACGUCGCCGCCGCCGUGAUCGGAGGGACUAAAAUUUCGCCCCCGGAACGUUUUUCAUGUAAUUUCGAACCGCGCGAUAUCUGCUGCCGAACAUAAAUCACUUGUUUUUAACGGUUCGAUUACUUAAGCGCCACUCGUUCCUUUUACCGUCGAUAUGUUAUUAU
This 68021-nucleotide long non-coding RNA is filed under the name Cinara cedri. Lineage: Eukaryota; Metazoa; Arthropoda; Insecta; Hemiptera; Aphididae. The record is from RNAcentral.